CCCUUUAAUUUAAAUAUUCCAUCAGAUUCAAUCUUAACCGUCCAAAUUCAACAAUCCAAUGUUUGUCAUAUUGCACCAUUUUAAUUAUUUAAUCUUCGAUUUAUCAGGAUUGUUAGUCAAAAGAUCUAACGGCCCAGAUCUCUUCAACCCGUUUAAACCCCUAGAGACCAACUCAAUCCCCUCAAACCCUAAUCAUUCGUCUUCCAGACUCGGUCUCCCCCUUUCCCCUUCCUCUCUCUAUUCUAUCAAACCCCAUACCCCAUCAAUCACAGAAACCUUGCACCAAAUCAUGCAAGGUUGUAAAUCAUGACUUCAAAUCAUCCUUUGUGCCUUCUAACUCCGCGAAUCUCACCGAUGUCUCCUUGUUUCAUCAUAUGAAUUCAAAAUCUCACAUUUUCUGACUUAGACUUAAAGAUGAAACUUCAAGUCUUCAAGAUCCUCUUGUGCUGCAACAAAAUCAGAGCAUGCAUGAGCAUCUCAUUAUGUUUAUUUGAAAUCAGAGGUCAAAUACACUGACCUCUGGAUUAUCGGUCUUUGUCCGAUGGUUUUCUCACCUGCAAUGACUGUCUUCCACUCAGGUAAAACUCCUAUGAUUUUCUGUUAUGAUCUUUUGAUUUUCACUCAUUUUGCUAGCAUCAUCAAUCUCUCCUUCACUCUCCACUAUCGAUUUGAAUUUUUGUUAAACCCUAAGUCUUCAAUGGCCAUUAUAAAUAGGAGACUUCAAUGCUUACACCUAACACUACCUAACACCUAAAACAGAAUAGAAAAAAAAUAGAAAGCUUAAGAGAAUAAAAUCCCUAAACUUCUCACUGAUUUUCUUUUCCUUCUCUGGCACCGAGUUAGUCCAUUGUUCGAGCUUGAGUUAGAAUUCUUAACGGUUAAACAAGAAGUUUUUGUUUGGUUUGCUACUCCGUAGAAGGUCAGUGUACACCGGCCUUCCCUUUCUUUUGAUCAUUCAUAUUGUUUUGUGCUAUAUCAUAUUUUCUUUUGUUGGUUAUUUUCAUCCAUGAUGCAUGUUAGUAGUUUGUCAUUGAUUAUUAGGUUCCGUUCUUACUUUUUAUCAUUAUUGAUUGAGUUAAUCAUCUCCUUAUAAUUUGUGUUAGUAAGGCUGGUUAAUCUAUGUUAAUGAACUUCAUGACUUAACUGGAUAAAUAGUUGUUAUUAGAGAAUGAUAUAUACUUUUCUGAGCUUUGUUCAUUGUUUAGGAAUCUUCUGAUGUUUCUGAAUGUGUUUGUUAACUGUAAUACCAUAUUUAGUUAGCUUGAUCAAGCAGUAUUCUUUAAACAUCUCUUGAUAUCCUGUCGAGGGUUGAUGUCUUCUACAUUUGUGCUAUAUUGUCUAUUGAAGCUAAGCAAUUCUAUAUCAUUUGUUAGCAUGUAUUUUCCUCAUAAAUCUAUGUUAUACCCACUUAAGUUGUUUUCUUAGAAUGAUUAAUCUGUUAUUGAAACCAUGCCUACCUUAACAUGUAAAACUCACAUGAUUUUGUGACUUGAACUUCUGUGGUGGAUUCACUAGCUUAGUUGUCACAUCUGCUCACUUGAUAUGUUAUAUAAUCUUGCAAACCUCAAGAAAUACCAAAUUGUGUGUGUAUAUAUAUAUAUAUAUAUAUAUAUAUAUAAUAUAUNNNNNNNNNNNNNNNNNNNNNNNNNCUACUACUAACUAACUAACUAACUAACUAAGUAGUGUGUAUAUAUAUAUAUAUAUAUAUAUAUAUAUAUAUAUAUAUCCUUGGGAUGCUUCCCCUCAUGCUUUUGUAAUUCUGAGACCUCUUAAGAGAUUACUGUAAAGGUGAUCCUAUCCAUUUCUUUGGUUAUGUGAUCAUAUAUGUGAAGCCUCACCUAAUAGUAAAUAUGUCCUGAAAUGAGACUGGUUUAAGUUCUAAUGAAUUUUUAUAGUUAAUAUGAAGUCAGACUGCUACUGUUGACAUAGACCAAGCAUGUUUAGAAUUUUCUUCAGGGACCUGAUUAAGAAAUAGAAUUUGGUUAAGAGUUAUAGAUAUUGUACAUAUAUAUCACCCCCUUAACUGACCAUACCAAGUUAAACUUCACCAUGCUUGGGCUGAUGCAUUCACCUGUGUAACUGGGCUAGUUAUCUUGCUACUAGUACCCUGCUUAUUCCAUGUGAAACCUUCUUUGCUCUGAACUUUUAUACUGAAUUUUGUUGGCCUGACCCUGUGCUCUAUCAUGUUGUAGUCUUACACUCAUUAGGGACAUUUCUUGGAUGUGUUUGAUUGUCUGCUCUUGUAUUUCUAUACUCAUUCCUGUUAUCAAACAGACAUAUGCUUAUCUUUCAUACUCAUGCAUAUGUUCUCACAUUGCCCUAUCACAUAAUGAAGAUUGAACCUUGCUAAGUUUGCAUAAGUCAACUAUGAUUCAUUUGUGGAUUUGAGAGAGACUUCUGAUGAUAUCAUGACUUUUUUAAGGAGAAAGUCAUCAUCCAUUAGAGUUGAAACUAAUUUGUUUACUUAAAUAGUCAUGUUGAUGCUCUUUAAAGAUCCUAUAUGACACUAUUAACCCAUACACCUAUUAGAGCUUAAAACUUGACCUGUGCAUGCACCCCGAUUAACUUAAGCCUUGAUUGUUAAGUUUGAGGACCUCUGUAGAUUUGAACUAUGUACCUCUUUUACUUCUUAAGUUGCGUGACUUAAUGGUUUGAACGAUUGAAAUAAUCUUCUACUAAUCUUUUUCCUUAAUUGUACAUGUAAUUUUUUUCUAUGGACAUUCUUCUACAUAUUAGUGGUUCUUAACAAUGAACUACACAUUGGUGUUUGGGUUGAGACCCGUGUAAACUUUGAAGUGCCAGGGACUCAAAGGGUAUCUUGACUAUAAAUGUAAUUUCACCUUAAGCUCUUAAUCAUUGAUAUUUGCCAAUCUCUUUAGGGUUAGUGUCUAAUGAAGAAAAGGCUUCACUGUAAUUUUCCUUACUUUAUUUUAUUUCAGACAAUUUCAUUUGCAUUCUUGACCACAAAUAUUUGUUAUAGUCUCAUUUGAGCCUUGUGUUUGAUCUUAUCUGUAUUUAAAUAUUUUGUUGGGCUUCGUAAAUAAUUUUUACCUUUUUCUCUUGACCAUGUAACUGAACUGGCCCUGUUGAGUUUUAAAGAAUUCAGGCCUCAAGUUCCAGCCUUCGAGUCUGAAGUCACGGGAGCCGCUGCUGCUUGUCUGCUGUUCGCUGGGCCUAACCUUCUUCAGGCCUAAAUUACCUAGUCGUGUUCCUUUUCCUUCCUCAUUAUUAGAUAAUCUGAAUCUGUUAUAUUUUUCUUUAUAUGUGUAUAAUACUAACGAUAUUGAUUGGAUAUUUUAUUUUCCUUAAGACCUUUAGGAACCUAGGCAAGCCAAGAUACAUAGGUAAUAAAAAAAUCACUAUUACGUUACAAUUAGCCAUAAAAUUUUGGCACUUUGAUAAUUUAUUUCAUAGGAUUUUAUUUUGAAUCACUCUAACCAUUUUAAUUGAGUUCUUUGAAGUUCAAAGCAGAUUUGAAAAGCAAUGCAAUUCUUCUAAAGCCAGAAUUGAAAAGGGAUAUUUCAAAUUAGUUUUUCUUCUAAACAAAAUCAACACGGUUAGAAUCAAGGCUACUAAACUUUCAACGAUUUUUCUUCAAAUACAUCGCUACCAAUUGAAACAAAUCUCCAAAGGUAUAUUCAAGGCGCAUUUCUAAUAGUCUUUACUCUACUAGACUUUUAUAGCGAACCAUGUUAUAUAGUAUUCAAACAUAGCCAUAUCUUAUGUCUUUCAAGUCUUGUUGGUGUAAAUGUUAGAAAUUAUUUUUUUCAAGUCUCUCCAAUCAUGUAGAUAUAAAUAUUUCAAGAGGCUUUUACAAAUUAAACCUAAAUUCUCUUUUCAAUGUACAUAUAUUAUUUCCUUUCAAAAUGAUAAGUUUCUAGAACAUAACCUAGAGUAAGUUACACAUAUUUAGCACUAACUAAAGUAGAAUAUAGACGUUUAAUUCCCCGAGGUCUAAGUCCAAUGAAGCUACCUUAGGUAGAUUUUAAGGGGUGCCUAACACCUUUCCUUAGAAGAAUAUGAAUCCUUACCCAAAUCUCACUGGUUAGCAUACUAAUAAGAUAAUGAUCUUAAUAAUUAAAUAGGUACCCUACUAUACCUUUAAAUAUUAGUUGGCGACUCUCUUUUAUAAUUAACAGGGAAACCACUAGUUGAAUCUUAUUUUGACUCGUGCAAAAUAGGGUGCAACAACAUGGCGACUCUGCUGGGGACUACACUUAGGUUCUGAUCUAAGCAGACUUAGACUAUACUCGGAAUUUAGGAAUACUUAUACACUGCUUUAACUGUGUUUAAUUUGCAACUAUGUGCUUACCUGCCUUACUUGCUCAUUAUGUACUUAUCUGCUUGCUUCAAUGUUAUUACUAACAUCCCACUAUUUGUUUUCGCUUUAUAUAUACUUUCAUCACACUCUUCCCUAUCGAAUCAUGGUCGUACACUAUCACGCACAAUGUCAUGUGAGGGUUAUCAUUUACACCCCUCCGAACCUUCUUUCAAAAUUCUUUAGUUUCAGAGAAUGGCUUUGUCAGGUCAACUGACAUAACUUCUCGCAGUAUUCAGUCCAACUAAAAAUUAGGAAACACUCUACUCUAGCAAACAUAGGUCAUAUUGCAUAAGCCUUAGGUAAGUUGGUCCUUGGCAUUGUCACACAAUUAGGAAAUCCACCGUAAUGUCAAUAGGUCAUGCACCCAACGACAUGACUUUUGUGUAAAGACAAACUAAUCAUGACGAGACACUAAUGAUCUGAAUCAAACACUUAUCAAACCCUUUUAUCCACCAUUUUCAGAUUUGGAAAUCAACUAGAACAUCCUCGAAAUCAAUAUGGUAAUGGGAGCACCGAACAAGCUAAAGAAAUGAUGGAAUAAUAUCCGCCGAGAGCAUGGAAACGAAAUCAAGACACACCUGGGAGCAUUGAGUGCCUAACUGAACAUCCGGGCCGAUAGGGUGCACACCCAUUUGCUGAUAGAGUUUUGGGAUGUAGCCAAAGUGGUUUCAAGUUCGCUGACUGUGAGUUGGUGCCAACGUUGGAAUAAGUUACCAACUUCACAGAGCUGCCAUUUACAAGGAAGAAAUCGAUACUACAAGUCACCAUGCCCGGCUAUAGGUUUUUUGAUGCUUUAGGUUUAGUGGGUAAUCGGAGCUUAAGGGACAUUGAAGAUGGAUGGGUAAGCCUGGACCAAUGUUUUGAUAGGUUUGGACAUCGUGAUAACUAUGAAUAGUACAUAGGAGUCUUUCAGUUUGAUCAGGUAACCUGGGAAAGCCCCCGAACCAUAACCUUCUCUUUGGUGCUGCUAGGAUUGUUGGUCUUCCAACAAAGAAGAGGAUAUAUAACCAUUAACUUGUUGCAUGUGAUCUUGUCAACAUUCCGAGGCAACCUCAAAGACACUUUGGUACCUAUGGUGCUAGAAAAAACUUUCAAGGCAUUUUCUGCAUGUUCUCGGGGGUACUAUUUCUUCAAGGGUUGCAACUUGUUGCUCCAAAUAUGGGCCACGGAGAACUUCUUUCAACGAGAUGCCACAUUUGAUUACUUUGUGGGCUUUAGCAACAUGAUUCGAAGUCACAGUUAGAGAAUGAGGCAUUGCGUCUCCCUACAUGGACAGGAAGAAUAGAGAGAGAUGCUAACAAACUUAAGCGGAGAGUGGAUAAACUGGAAGUUGUCAUGGCUGAGCGGCAGGGCAAUUCUAAGGACUCCUAGAAGUAUUUCAUCGAGCUAAUGGGACUCGAGGGUAUUCAAACAUAUACACCCUAUGAGUUCUCAAGCAAUUCGGGUUGAUUCAGGAUGUACCUCUCUAAAUGAGGACGACACUGUAUGAAGACGAGUACAAUGGGCACAUCUCACAACCAAGGAUAAAGGGGCUUUAGAAGUAGUGGAAUGAUCUAAUCACGAUGCCAAAUGGGUCAGAAUUUGUGGUGCACUCUGGAAUAGUAUGUCUGGAUCAAUGAAGAGGAUGAGCUAGCCCGACCAAGUAGGGAGGGAAUAUCCUGGCUGGAAGAUGCAGUGGUGGCUUUGCAAAUAUAUCAUGAGAUUUUGCCGCACUACCUUGUGACUACCUCCAUGCACCGUUAAGUGGUCCCAGGAUAAAUUGAUCAUAUGAUGCCACUUUCUGAGGAUGACCACCGAGUAGCUGAGUGUAUACAAAUUGAGUCUGAGAUAGAAAUAGAAGAAGACCUAGAGGAAGAGCCUGAGUUUAAUGAUGAUGAAGAAGAGUUUGAAGAAGGCCCGAAAGAGGAGCCUAAAGAGGAGGAAGACACGGGGAAUGAUUCUGGGGAUGGUUGUUAGAACCUGGUUGAUUUCACCCCUUUUCCUACCUUGUAUCUUUUAUCUCGAACCCUUCCAAUUACCUAAGGGCAAGUCUGUUGAGCCCAUGUAAUCUUAUGAAAGUUGAAAACAAUGAUGUAACCUUUGCUCCCGCCUGUUACAAUCCAAUAUUAUUAAUGAAAACCAAUUUUGAUUUGGAUAUGAAUAUGUCAAAUCUAAUUGUUUGUCAAAAUUCGCGACUUAGGCCUACCUCCGGCAAAGAGAGGUCCCUCGAACAUUAGGAAAAACGUUUGUUUCAGUACGUGAAUUAACUGCUCUGUGUGAUCAUUAUUUGUACAAACACUGAAACUGAGUUGUGUUCUUAUGCCUUUUUCUUUUCUUUUCUUGUAUUAAUUUAUUCCCCAGAAGAAGAAGUCUAUUUGGUGUUGACCCAAAAACUAGCGGAACCACCAUACAAUUUGAUAUCGAAAACGAAUAUGUCUGCGAUAGAUAACCCGACCAAACACACUCUGAUAAUAGUUGAUAGGCCAGGGUGAUCGAGAGAGAAUAAUGAUACUCGGAAUGAUGAACAUGUUGCUAGGAUGGCCCAAGAGAUGGAAUCGUCAAGGGAGGAACACACAUUCGGGUAUUGGUACAUCUGGUUGUGACGACGCUCCCACAACCACCCCGUUUUCCUUUUCUAGAUUCGAUCCUCGACCAUUUUGUUUCAACUUCUCACCAAGUAAAUAAUACCCCGACUUCAGUCCCUACCACCCAGAUUAUACCCCCAGUAACCCCUUCGAAUCCACCAAACCCAACCUAUACAAACCCCUUAUGUACCAAACUAUAUUCAGACAUCGUAACGCCCACCAGUUUCUACGAACGCAGUUCAUACCCCUCCUCAUGAUUACAUCACCUUCACCACCAAUCAAAACUAGAACAUACCCACGACACAUACCACUACACACGAGUGAUAUGUUCCACCCAUAUAUGUCAUUUCAGAACCAACCUUCACAAUGCCCGUCACGGUCAGGCUGCCUUAUAAAGUUGAUCAAUAUAUGGAAAUGGAAAGGGAAGCUUAGUAUAAGGAGGAAGAGUCAGUAUACGAAUAGUUAUGGGCUUUGAGGAAACAAAUGAAGAACCUUCAACUCGCUCGAGGGAGCGAAAGUCUAGAUUAUGAGGAUCUGUGCGUACACCCUGAUGUGGACAUGCCGAUAUGGUAAAAGCCUUCGAAGUUUGAUAUCUUUGAUGGGACCGGUGAUCCCCAUGCACAGAGCCUGUUGCGAUAAGCUAGUUGGAGUUGGAAGGAAUAAGAAAUUGAGGAUGAAUCUAUUUAUAAGGAUUUUGAUAGGGGAGGAACUUACUUAGUAUACUCUCCAAGAUCCCAAAAACUGGAAGGAGUGGCAGGAUAUGGCAGAAGAUUUCAUGAACCAUUUUUGGUUCAACACAAAAAAUUACCCUUGAUAGAUUUGCCUUGGUAAACUUGUAGAAAAAGCCUUCAGAAUCAUUUCAAGAGUAUGCACGUUGAUAUAGGUCAGAGACUACCAGAGCACAACCCCAGUUAGAUGGCAGCGAGUUGACUAAAUACUUUAUCAAGGCUCAGGAAGGAAUCUACUUUGAGAAAAUGAUGGGCAUGAUGGGGUAUAAGUUCCUUGAACUUGUUAAGAUGGGAGACUUUUUAGAGGAAGGCAUAAAGUUCGGCAUGGUACAAUCUAUGGCUGCAUUGCAAGCAGAAAGCAAAGCAAUUCAAUCAUGUUCAAUAGGAAGCAGAAAUAAGAAAAAAGGAAGAGGUAUCUACAAUCGUUCCCUAUUACCAGUCUAAUCCACACCACGGAAACAAUUAUUAGUCUCCAAAUACCCAUUCCCAACACCCACCUAAUUAUGCUCCAAUAUACAACACACAACCAUUCUACAAUCCCCAACCUCAAUAUAACCCACCUCGGGCCCAUAAAACUUCAAAUCCACCACGACCAUAAGCUGCAGUGCAAACUAUCACUCAUCAAAAUUGACCGACCUAUGCAAUCCGACCUCGCCCAAAUUUUGAAGGAAGAGGUCCCAGAAACUACACUCUGAUUGCUGAACCUUUGGCUCAACUGUAUGAAAGACUGAGGAGAGCUGGCUUGUUACAUCCGAUAAAAGGAAGGAUUCAUGAGAAUCCUUAAAAUACUUUGAUGCAACAAAACGAUGCGUCUACCAUUCAAAUGUACUAGGUUAUGAUACCGAAGAUUGCUUCAAACUAAAAAAUGAAAUUGAAUCACUGAUUAAAAGUGGAGCCGUUCAGUGCACCCCAGCUUUGACUAAUGUGAACCGUAAGCCAUUGUGAAACCAUAGGAAUCAAGGAGCUAAUAUGAUCACCCUAGAUGAAGUGUAUGACUUGAAAGGAACCAUCAUCACGAUCGGAAACACUAAGGCUGCAAUGGUUCUAUCCCUAAGGACUAUGAUGAUCACCGUACAAUUAAAACCUAUUGUGAUGGUCCAGACAUACCAGCAAUAGUCCACCCCUAUUUUCUGAGAUGAGGAGGAUCAAGAAUACAAGACAGUCCCGUGGACAUAUUAGCAAAAAGGGAAAGGCAAGAUGACAUAUUCCGCAUCGGCUCAUAGAAUGACCAGGACAGGUAGGUGUUACGCUCCGGAGGAGGUAAACCGAAGAAAUCUAGGAAGGAAAUAGAUUCAGAGAAAGAAUAUAACAAAUACGGAGGCCACAAAAUUCUGGAACAAGAUGUCAACUAAAGAAUACACCAUGGAGGAACAAUUAAAGAAAACCCGUGCGCAAAUAUUAAUCAUGGAUCUACUGAUGAGUUCUGACAGUCACAAAGACGCCUUCAGGAAAGUGUUAAGUGGGGUGAGCGUGCCGAGCAACACUACCAGUGAGGUACUAGCAGCGACUAUCGGGAUGAUGGUCGAGGCGAACAUGAUUACCUUCCAAAGAGACGAACUUCCCAUAUAAGUCGUGGGUCACAAUAGAUCUUCGCACAUCACCGUCAAAUGUAGAGAUAAGAUGGCAUCCUAAGUACUCGUUGAUGGAGGAUCUAAAGUCAAUAUAUUCCCACUUUACGCCCUAUGAGGGCUGGGUAUUCAUAUAAUAGAAGUAAAAAAAAGUUAUGUGAGGGUAAGAGAUUUCAACGGGUCGCAAAAGGACAUCAUUGGAGAAAUCUAUUUACCUUUGCAAAUUUGACCAGUUGAGGUUCCCAUAUUGUUCCAAGUAAUGGACAUUUCACCGUCAUAUAAUCUGUUGUUGGGAAGGCCUUGCAUACAUAUGGGAAAGGUAGUCUCAUUUACCCUCAAUAAAUGCAUGAAGUUCGAGUGGGGUUGUGAAGAGAUUGUAGUUCAUGGAAUAUUUAGCCAAUCAGCUUAUCUAGAACAUGCAGUUCCAUUCAUAGAAGGAUUAGAUGGGAUCGCUCUUCAUGCGGUCAAGAUUAUGCAGACCACUGAGAUAGGAGAGACCGAGCAAAAUCUGGGUAUGAAAUCACCAUACAAAUCAAAGAUGGCUAUGAGAGAAAUGAUGAAGUACGGGUACAGACCAGGGACCAGGUUGGGAGCCCGAUCAGAUGGGAUAAUAGAAUCGAUUGAGCCAAGGGGGCAGAAAGGUAGAGCCGGAAUAGGGUAUCAGCCUCCAACUCAAAAGACUUAUACUGGUGGCUUUGGGAACAAAGAUUUUAUGCCAGCGCAUGUUUUAUGUCCGAUUCAAAGGUCAACACCCGAGGACGAUAUCGUCGAUGGAAUGGGAAGGUUGUUUUUUACCAUGAUCGAGGAAUGCUGUGACAAAAUUGAUAUCACGACACCGACCACUCAGAAUGCCAAACCAGGAGAGGACUUGCAGAAUUGGACUGCCAGCCCGUCUUUGGUUUGCUGAGAAUUUUGGUAGUGUGGAAUUGUAAAACCUUUUGAAAAAAGUGCACGAUUAACUGAGGCUUGAACUGUGCCCAUACUCUUUUAUCAAUUACCUCCUUGAACCCUUAGACGUUCCUCUUUUGAUGAAAUAAAACGAAAUGGUUUCUUAAAAUUGUUGUAAACUUAUUUAUCGCUUCAUUUAUACUUCAUUUUUCUUUUUAGUAAUCAAAACGAUAAAAACCCGUGUUUCGUGAUUAUGACAUGUAACAAAACCCUCGAGCAAAGUGAUCCAGAUUAUGAGGAAUAUGAUGAAAGCAUAAUGCCAAAUAAUCUCCCACAAGAGAUUGAGUAGUUGGAAAGACUGAAAAAAACCUAACCUCGAAGAGACAGAAGUAGUCAACCCGGGAAGCGAAGAAGCUGUGAAAGAAACGCGAAUCAGCAUCCAUUCAGAAGCAGAGCAAAAAGACGAAUUGUUUUAGCUCCUCAGAUAGUGCAUCGACGUAUUUCAUGGUCGUAUGACGACAUGCCUGGAUUAAGCACCAAUAUCAUUUCGCAUAGACUGCCUACCAAUCCUGCUAGUCCACCAGUCAAACACAUACCUAAGAAGUUCAAGCCGGACUUGAGUUUGAGGAUGAAAGAAGAUGUAACCAAGUAAAUAGAGGCAAACGUGGUGAGAGUCACCAAUUAUCUCAUGUGGUUGGCGAAUAUUGUACUGGUACCAAAGAAGGAUGGGAAGAUCAGGAUAUGUGUGGAUUAUCGAGAUCUUAACAAGGCCACUUUGAAAGAUGAUUUCCCUUUACCAAAAAUUCACAUCCUCAUCGACAAUUGCAUGAAGCACGAGGUGUAGUCAUUCAUGGAUUGUUUUGUCGAGUACCAUCAGAUACUGAUGCAUGAAGAAGAUGUAGAAAAGACAGUGUUCACUCCGUCUUGGGAGUUUAUUGCUAUAAAGUCAUGCCAUUCGGUCUCAAGAAUGCCGGUGCUUCUUACACGAGGGUCAUGACGACCCUCUUUCACGACAUGAUCCACAAAGAGAUUAAGGUAUAUGUGGAUGACGUCAUUAUCAAAUAUCGAAAGAGUGCAGAACAUUGGGACGACAUAAAGAAGUUUUUUGAACUCUUGCGGAGGUAUAGUUUGAAGUUGAACCCUAUAAAAUGUGCAUUCGGAGUCCCUGCCGGAAAAUUAUUAGGUUUCACCGUAAGCAGGAAAGGGAUAGAAUUGGAUCCUUCAAAGAACAAAUCCAUUCAAGACUUCCCACCCCUAAAAGCAAGAAGGAUGUAAUGAGUUUUCUUGGUAGACUAAAUUACAUAAGCCGAUUCAUAGCCAGUCCACGGUAAUUUGUGAGCCUAUCUUCAAGCUAUUGAAAAAUGAUGCCGCUAUAAAAUGGACAGAAGAAUGUUAGAAACCCUUUAACAAGAUCAAGGAGUACUUGUCAAAUUCACUAGUGUUGGUUCCUCCUGAGCCCGGGAAGCCAUUGUUGUCAUACCUGUUAGUAUUGGACAAUACAUUUGGAUACGUGUUGGGACAACACGAUGAGAGCGGGAGAAAAGAGCAAGCUAUCUACUACUUAAGACAUAAGUUUACCCCAUGUGAACCCAAAUACACUUAGAUAGAGCGCACUUGUUGUGCCUUGACUUGGGUCACGCAGAAGUUGAGGCAUUACAUGACAGCAAACACCGCACAUCUAAUAUCCCGGCUCGACCCGCUCAAGUAUAUCUUCCAGAAGUCGAUGCCUACAGGAAAACUGGCCAAAUGGCAGAUUCUUCUCAGCGACUUUGACAUUGUGUACAUAACACAAAAGGCCAUCAAAGGACAAGCCCUAGCUAACCACCUUGCAGAGAAUCCAGUGGACAAGGAUUAUGAACCUCUCACUAUAUACUUUCCGGAUGAAGAAGUGUUGUUCGCCGGAGAAGACGUUGCAGAGUCAUACCCUAGAUGAAUAAUGUUCUUCGACGGAGUAGAAAAUUUCAAAGGAGUAGGAAUUGAGGCAAUCUUGAUUUCAGAGUCAGGAUAACAUUAUCCGGCAUUGGCAAAGAUAAGGUUCCCCUGUACCAAUAAUAUAGCCGAGUACGAAGCAUGCAUCUUCUGGAUUAGGAAUGCGGUCGACAUAAACAUCAAGCACAUUCUCAGGAUCCAAAACGAGUUUGUCGAUACUCUCGUAAGCUUGUCAUCCAAUAUCCAACAUCUAGAUAAGAAUUGUAUCGACCCUAUUGAGAUAGAGAUGAGGGAUCUGCAUGCGCACUAUUUCCAUGUAGAUGAAGAGCCAUACGGUAAGUCGUGGUACCAGGACAUCCAAAGGUUUCUUGCAACAUGAGAGUAUCUAGAGAGCGCCACGAUGGUUCAGAAGUGAGCACUCAGAAGGCUAGCAAAUCAAUUUUUCCUCAAUAUGGAAGUCCUGUAUAGAAGGACCCUAGAGUUGGAUAUGUUAAGAUAUGUAGAUGUUGUUGAAGAAACCAGACUGCUAGAAGAAAUACAUGCAGGGACAUGUGGACCACACAUGAACGGUAUCACCUUAGCCAAUAAGAUUUUAAGAGCCGAAUAUUUUUGGAUGACCAUGGAAAGUGAUAGUAUCCGCUAUGUGUAAAAGUGUCACUAGUGCUAGAUCCACGUGGAUUUAAUCCGGGUUCCACCUAAUGAGUUGAAUGUAAUGGGUUCGCCUUGAUCGUUUGCCGCUUGGGGCAUGGACAUAAUCGGACCUAUAGAGCCCGCUACAUCAAAUGGACACCGUUUUAUUGAUGUAGCAAUUGAUUACUUCACCAAAUGGGUUGAAACUUCUACAUACAAAGCCUUCACAAAUAAAGUAGUGGUAGAUUUCAUGCGUAACAAUAUAGUCUGUCGGUUUGGGAUACCCGAGUCAGUUAUCACUGAUAAUGCAGCCAAUCUCAAUAGUGUUCUCAUGAGUGAAAUUUGUGAGACGUUCAAAAUCGUCCACCGUAACUCUACAGCCUAUAGACCGCAAAUGAAUGGAGCAGUUGAAGAAUCCAACAAAAUCAUUAAAAGGAUUUUACGAUGAGAACAUCCACUAGGGCAACGCCAUAGAUAUUGGUAUAUGGCACCGAAGCUGUGAUACCCGCACAGGUCGAGAUACCAUCCUUGAGAGUCAUUCAGGAAGCCAAGUUGGACGAGGCAGAAUGGAUACAGGUUAGGCAGGAGCAACUCAUGCUCAUGGACGAGAAGAGAAUGGACGUAGUAUGCCACAGUCAGCUGUAUCAAAAUAGGAUGACCAGUGCAUUCAACAAAAGGUCGAAACCUCACCAAUUUACAGUGGGGCAGUUUGUUCUAAAGAAAACAUUCUCUCACCUAGAAAAAGCGAAGGGAAAGUUUGUGCCAAAUUGGUAGGGUCCUUACAUGGUCCAUUGAGUGUUGUCGGGAGGAGCACUAAUCUUGGCAUAGAUGAAUGGAAGAGUCAGCACAAAGACUAUCAGCUUAGAAGCAAUCAAGAGAUACUACAUUUGGAGAAAGUAAAGUUAGGUUUAGGUUGUAACAGAACUACGUUGUCAUGACCCAAAAUCCGACUAGUCGUGAUGGCACCUAACCCAACCGCUAGGUAUGCCACUUAGCCACUAAUCAAUUCCAAUAACAAUUAAUAAAGCAAUUUAAGUAAAGAAUUAUCUUAAUCUUAUAUAUUUCCCAAGAACUGGUAGUACAAAUCAUGUGCUUCUAAGAAUAGAGUAUACAACGCUUGUACGAUGUAAACACAUCAUCUAUUUGAAAAGUAAAAAAAUAGAGUUUUAUGAAUCUAAGGCUACCAUGAACACGAGGAAGCUACAACCGGAGCAUAGGUACAUCUUCAAAUCCAGCUCCCAACGAACGCAACAACAUCAGCAACCAACAUAUGCACGCAAGGUGCAAAAGUGUAGUAUGAGUACAACCGACCCCAUGUACUCAAUAAGUAACAAACCUAACCUUAAGUUGAAAGUAGUGACGAGCUUGUACCAAGGUCGGGUACCAACUUCAAUAACCAACAAUAGUUCAUAACAACAUAAAAUAGGUAAUACCAUAAGUAACUCAACAAUCAAAUGCUCAACAAAAACAUGAUUUCUGAAAAUAAUUCUGCCUUUCAAGUACAUCAAUGAAAACCCAAAUCGUUUACCGGAAUUGCCAAAAAUAUGAAUAAAUUUGAAAACAAUAUUUUUCGCAAAAUCCUUUUAAUAAUAAAUAAGAUGUUUCAUUUUCUUUCCAGAUAACCAGUGUAAAACAAAUGCAUCACUAUGCCCAUCUGUCAACAUGUGUGAGAAAUCAUGAAUGAUGUGAUACCGUACAGCAUGAGAAAAAUACAUCUCUAUGAUUGUAUGUCAUGUGUGCACGUCAAUGCAAUGUAUCUCAAAGAUGAACUCAUGUAAUUACACUCUCAGAGUACUCAAUCUCACUUUCUCACACAUUCCACUUAUCAUGCGUAAUCACUCUGUAAUAUUUAUGGCCAAUCCGGCCCAGGGAAGAUCCAUCCCGGAAUAUACACAUCAACUGAUCUUCAGUCACUCAGUACCGAGUAGGACCAAUCCAUCCUGUGGAAAAGAUCCAUCUCCAGGUAUAUAAUACUUCUGACAAGAUCCAUGCCCAGGGAAGAUCCAUCCCUCAAUAAUAUCAACCACGCUCACUGGGGGUGUACAGACUCCGGAGGGGCUCCUUUAGCCCAAGUGCUAUAAAUCGCAUGGACAACUCACGUGCUGCACGGACAACUCACGUGCUAUAGUAAAGCCUAUAGGGCCUGCUACGUGCGCGUAGCCCCGAUCCACAUAAUAAUAAUAAUAUAUAUACAGCCAAUAUGGCCUGCUGCAGGCGGGCAACCCCGAUCCACAUAAUAAUAUCCUCACAGUCAGGCUCUCGGCCUCCCUCAGUUAUCAAUCACUCCAGUCUCUCUCUUAUCGGCUCACAAUGUUAUUAAAAUAGACCAAAAAUGAUGAUAUGAUGUAUCAAUAAAUAAUAGAGACUGAGAUAUGAUAUGCAAUGAAAUGAAUAUGACUGAGUAUAAAAUUUCAUUUUGAACAAAUAAUUCAUAGCAAUAUGACCUUUGUGGGUCUCAAUAAUAUUGGCACAUAGCCUCACAUGAUUUUUAAUAUGAUUCUCAGUUCAAUUUCUUUAACACAUAAAACUACAUUGAAAUUGCCAAGAUUAUUUGACUACAAAAUUCCACGGAACAAUUACGUCAAAAUUUCUAUGGUGCAAGCCCACAUGCCCGUCAUCUAGCAUGUGCGUCACCUCCAAACAUUUCACCUAAUACGUAUUUUAAGGGUUCAUACCCUCAGCUCCAAGAUUAGAAGAGUUACUUACCUCGAACAAGACAAAUCCAAUUCUGAGCAAGAUCAAAAUGCUCCAGAAAUCCCAUUCUGCGCGUAUCAACUUCUGAGCGGCUCGAAUCUAGCCACAAUAAAUUUGAUUCAGUCUACACAAUUAUAGGAAUUAAUUCCUUAUCAAAAUACUAAUAUUUUCCCAAAAACAUCCGAAACUACACUCCAAAAAAAUCGCCCAUGUGGCCCACAUCUCGAAAUCGGACAAAACUUACAAAAUCUGACAACCCAUCCAAUUACAAGUUCAACCAUACUAAUUUCACUCAAUUCCGACUCCAAAUCGAUGUUCAAAACUCCAAAAAUGCGUAUUAUGAACUGUAGGCCAACACCCCCAAUUUCCACUUUAAAUUCAUCAACCAAUUGCAAAAAUGAAGAUAGAUUCAUGGAAUAUAAUCACAAGGGAGUCAAGAACACUUACCCCAAGUUGUGUGGAAAACUUCCUCUCCAAAAUCGCCCAAACCGAGCUCCAAAAUGACCAAAAUGAGAAAAAUCUCGGAAACCCUCAUUUUUAACAUUGCCCAGGCAUUUCCGCACCUACGGUGCCUGGGCUCGCACCUGCGCAUAUGCUUUUGUGGAAGGAAUUGCGCUUCUGCGGACCUCACUUACCCAGCUAGCCUCCGCUUCUGCCAUGCUUAGGACCGCAUCUGCGGUCGCGCUUUUGUGCAAAAAUCCCUGCACCUGCGAAGACCCCACGCCAGCCCCAAUCCCGCAUUUGCGCCAACCACGCUGCUCCUGCGGCAUCGCACCUGCGGCCAAGACCCUCACAGGUGCGAUCACAUCAGAGGCAGUAGUUCCAGCAUUUUCCUUAAGUCCGAAUUUGAUCAGUUAACCAUCCGAAAUGCACCCGAGAUCCCCGGGAACUCAACCAAAUACACCAACAAGUCCUAAAACGCACCAUGGACCUAUUUGAGGCCUCAAAUCACAUCAAACAACAUCAAAAUGAUGAAUCAUACCCCAAUUCAAAAUCUAUGAACUUAGAACUUUCAAAUUCUAUAUCUUGUGCCGAAACACAUCAAAUCAAUCCGGAAUGAAUUAAAAUUUUGCACACAAGUCAUAAAUGACAUAAUGAAGUUGUUCCCAUUUUCAGAAUCAGAUUCCGACCCCGAUAUCAAAAAGUCAACCCCCGGUCAAACUGCCCAAAAAUUCAACUUUCGUUAUUUCAAGCCUAAUUCAACUACGAACCUCCAAAUAAUUUUUCGGACACGCUCCUAAAUCCAAAAUCACCACACGAAGCUAUUGGAAUCAUCAGAAUUCAAAUUUGAGGUCGUUUACACAUAAGCCAACAUUCGGUCAACUUUUUCCAACACAAGCUUUCCAUUGUGAGACUAAGUGUCUCAAUUCAUUCCGAAAUCCUUCCGAACUCGAACUAACUAAUCCGAUAGGUCAUAAUACAGAUAUAAAGCACAAAUAGAGCAGUAAAUGGGGAAAUGGGGUUGUAAUACUCAAAACGACCAGCUGGGUCGUUACAUUCUCCCCCAUAUGUUCGUCCUCGAAUGUGCCAAGAGCUGUUUCUAAGCCAUCAAAUCACUAUUCCAUAUUACCCCGCACAUACCCCGGGGUGAUCCCACAUCACCCUAUUCCACAUAGGCCUAACAACAUAAUACAACUGAAAAUCCUUAAUUUAACUUUAACCCAAAACCCUUAGAAUUCAAUUCCCAGCCUUCAGAAUUUCUUACAAGACACAAAUCUCACUGUUACACACUGUAUAAGUCUGAACAAGCUGCAUCGAGCCAUGACCAUAACCCCAGAUAUAAUCACAUAACAUACCACACAACUCACUUACUCGCAGCACCAUUCCCGAUCACAGUAACUACUCCAACUAACCCGGUACUAGUAUUAAACCCCAUAUCAAACAAAACCUCAUUCCAAAACCUUGUUCCAAAACCUUCGUACACUUCUGAUAAUGAAAGAAACACGCAGAAAUCUCAGGACCCCUUAUCAGAUCAACAAGUGAUGGAGCUCUCUCUCCCCAACCAGAACCAUAAUCACUUUCUAAGCCGAAUUUCAAUAUUAUUCUCCCGAAUAUACCGUUUCAAACCUGAUAGUACUCAUUCUAGGUCCAAUGACCUUAUAUUAUUAAAUACAUCUAUCCCACAGACAUGCCACACCAAGAUAACUCAGAGCCACAAACCGUGCCAUCCAUGCGCCAAUACGCAACAAUUCAAAUGUACUAAGUCAUGAGAAAUGACUCAAAUGAGAGAACUGCCCCGCAAGAUUAACAAAUACUGCCACAAAGAAAUGCUGGAAAUCCAUCACACACUGUAGAACCAUCACACGAUUCUAACAUAAAGUACAUACCUUUACAUAACUCCACUGCAAUGCGUGACCCCAUCCAAACGCCGGUCCAUAUUAUAUACUUCGAGUCACCCUGCUCAGAAUCAAUAACCAUGGAGAGGCAAAUGACACAAUGUCACACAAAACCUAAAAGAACAUAACCAAUACACAAUCGGUCAUGCAAUACCCAAAUACUCAUCUAGCUUGAAUUCCGCCAUGAGGCCCCCAAUAGAACCAUGCCAUGUGUACAUAUAACCAAUGAAUCACAACUCCUCGUAGUAUAGAAGCGUAACGCACAUAUCAUUUCAGAACACGAAUAAGCUCAACAACAACCUAAAGGAACAUUCUUCGACAAUAGCAGUGUGGAGCCAACCAAUCCUACUUAGUGUAGAAUACACAUCCUAAUUGGGCCUACCGAUGGAUCCCCAAAUUAACUCUGGUCACCCAUACAUAGAUAAAUAACCCUCCAAAAAUCCACAAUGACUGAGUCAUAAUACACACUAUUAUCUGGCUAGCUUCUACCACGACUUUAUAGUUCACAACCAUGAAGCAAUCUGCUCCUGACAACUCCCAGUCUCCCAAUCACUAGGACACGCGAAUCACUAUUUCUGAUCCAAUCUCCACCGCCCGAAUGAAUAUCACAUCCUUCAUGCACGACAUCCUUCAUGCACGAUCAUCCCACUAGGAAUAUUUCCAUAAUUCUUCCGUGCCACAUAGCAAUAAUUUAAAUAUCAGCAGUCUAACAACCAGGAUAGUGCCGCGAUACCUAUGACAUUUUCAUAAUUCAAAACAUAGUGUGCCUUCUGAAAUGUACACUCUACUCACGCAAUACCAAAUAGUUAUAGCGGUCAUCUAAACAUAGAAAACCGUCCAUGCCAUCUAAGAAUUUAUGACCUCCCCUUCAAUACUAAACCGUGGCCUUGCGCACGCAAACCUUAAUCCCACAUAACACACUACAUCUAUAAUGUCAUCAUAUGAAAAAAAUACGAGAACCUCAUAAUCAUUCAGGGUCUCAAGUAGAAUACAUACCCGAUUAGUUGGAAUCCUUCCUCUUGCUUCCUUCCAGGAGGAAAUCACAAUACAAAACACGUUCCCCACAUCGGUAGAAAAUAUCUGGUUCAAACCAUGGUAGAAACCAUCAAUAACACUUUGAAAUCCAUUUGCACAUAACCAAGCUAUUAGAAUCGAAUUCCUCUAACUCGACCUAGCCACGCAGGUCACCAAACCUAAUAAUAUUGCCACCAAAACAUCUAUAAAGUCUUACCACAUCUUGAUUGCCCAAAGAACCGAUCAUACCCAUUACCAUACUGAUCCAACCUACUAACAAGUUGUCCUAUUUCUCCGAGUCCCUUCCGAAUUUGUCUUCAGAUUGAUACUUCUUAUUGCUAAAACACCACGACCUUUAACCACAACUCACCACAUAAACCUUAGCAUAGAACCACAACGCCUUACGACCCAUAAGCAACUGUAUUCACUUUAAGCACCUCCAUAAAUACCACAACUGUAACACUCAUUUUGAAAAUAACUUAUGUGAAAUUUAAAAUUGUUUUUCUUACCUUCCUUAUACUAAAAUGUAGAAUACAUAGUCGUAUAGAAUUUCUGCAAGUCCAGGCACCAUCUAAUGCAAAUCUCAAAUUUUUACCUCUACAGAAGUCUGGAGAAAUUCUCAACUGCUAUAUAUAAACCUCGAACCUAUUGGAACUUUCUCGAGAGUCACCCACUUUGUUAAAAUCAAAAUUACACCACCCAAAUGGGCUGAAAGAUACGUUCUCCAUUAGCACAUCACUCCAAGAGGUAAUCCUGCCUUAAUACCACCGAUCAAAUUCAUACUCAGUGAGCACUACAUCAUUCACAAAUAACAACUCACUCAUCCCAUGAUUUUCAUAUACUCAUAAAGUGCAAUAUAACCCGUAUCCAGGAUUUUCCUUACCCGAGUCAUUCUCGAACUCCACCUCUGCAAGUCCUCACCCAAGUAUGCCUCAGGCCAAAACAAAAAUUUGACACAUAACCAUGAAUUGAUUUUUCCAAUAGCAAACUCCCCCACUUGGCUCAAAGCCAUAAAUUUAAACACUCGAUAACUCACAAUAUCCAUACUCUAUUACUGUCAUAAUACCGUAGUCAGUACAAUGAAAAUUCUCCUCAAGCUCAUGAAACGCCAACCAUAAAAAUAUUCCAAAUCAUCCGCUAAGCUCGCAUUCAUUCUCUUAACACUCAAGUCAACUUUCUCAACCAGAUUCAAAUUCAAAUCUAAACAUAUAUGCCCAACUGGCAGAAAAGAAACACUCUACUCACAUUAUAAGGAAUAUACCUACGUAGAUUACUCCGCAGGGGAUAACCCACCUGCUUAGCCUCAAAUUGGUAGCUUGUUAUACCCUUUUGCCGUUACAAUUACAAUGAAAUCACUUAGUCUUUGUGAGUCCAAACUCAUUAACCAGUCAUAAUAAUUUAAUUUAUUCCAAAAUUUAACAAUAUGAAAGAUCUUUCAAAACUUUCACACUCGAGACUAUACGUUGCAUAAAAAUGAAAAUCAAGCACCCAAUGGCCUUCCUUUACACUUCAAGAAAACACUUCUCGCCACAUUCACAUCGUCUUAACACAUCUCACAGUUACAUCAUACUCAUUACAAAUCCAUUUCACCGCUCAUCGAGCUACAAAUUCCGCUCGUAGGGACAUUAUCAGACAUAUGAGACCAAAUGUACAAGUUACAACUGAAGCUACUGAGCUUAAGCUGCGGUUCAACCAUGGCCUCAAGUCCUCCAGACUGGCCCAUCACCAAAACACAUAAUACAUAUCUCGAACCUCAUUCAUAGAAUCAUAUGCCGACGAUGCACGCCUGAUACCGAGCAUUCCUGUGUACAUACGAAUGCGUGGAAGGAAUUCAAAGAGUUAUGUUUCAAGCUGAGUCAAUUUUGCAUGAUAAGAAAAGAAAGAUGGGANNNNNNNNNNNNNNNNNNNNNNNNNNNNNNNNNNNNNNNNNNNNNNNNNNNNNNNNNNNNNNNNNNNNNNNNNNNNNNNNNNNNNNNNNNNNNNNNNNNNNNNNNNNNNNNNNNNNNNNNNNNNNNNNNNNNNNNNNNNNNNNNNNNNNNNNNNNNNNNNNNNNNNNNNNNNNNNNNNNNNNNNNNNNNNNNNNNNNNNNNNNNNNNNNNNNNNNNNNNNNNNNNNNNNNNNNNNNNNNNNNNNNNNNNNNNNNNNNNNNNNNNNNNNNNNNNNNNNNNNNNNNNNNNNNNNNNNNNNNNNNNNNNNNNNNNNNNNNNNNNNNNNNNNNNNNNNNNNNNNNNNNNNNNNNNNNNNNNNNNNNNNNNNNNNNNNNNNNNNNNNNNNNNNNNNNNNNNNNNNNNNNNNNNNNNNNNNNNNNNNNNNNNNNNNNNNNNNNNNNNNNNNNNNNNNNNNNNNNNNNNNNNNNNNNNNNNNNNNNNNNNNNNNNNNNNNNNNNNNNNNNNNNNNNNNNNNNNNNNNNNNNNNNNNNNNNNNNNNNNNNNNNNNNNNNNNNNNNNNNNNNNNNNNNNNNNNNNNNNNNNNNNNNNNNNNNNNNNNNNNNNNNNNNNNNNNNNNNNNNNNNNNNNNNNNNNNNNNNNNNNNNNNNNNNNNNNNNNNNNNNNNNNNNNNNNNNNNNNNNNNNNNNNNNNNNNNNNNNNNNNNNNNNNNNNNNNNNNNNNNNNNNNNNNNNNNNNNNNNNNNNNNNNNNNNNNNNNNNNNNNNNNNNNNNNNNNNNNNNNNNNNNNNNNNNNNNNNNNNNNNNNNNNNNNNNNNNNNNNNNNNNNNNNNNNNNNNNNNNNNNNNNNNNNNNNNNNNNNNNNNNNNNNNNNNNNNNNNNNNNNNNNNNNNNNNNNNNNNNNNNNNNNNNNNNNNNNNNNNNNNNNNNNNNNNNNNNNNNNNNNNNNNNNNNNNNNNNNNNNNNNNNNNNNNNNNNNNNNNNNNNNNNNNNNCAAUUUCUUUAACACAUAAAACUGCAUGCAAAAUACAAAGAUUAUUUGACUAUAAAAUUCCACGGAAUAAUUACGUCACAAUUUCUAUGGUGCACGCCCACACGCCCGUCACCUAGCAUGUGCGUCAUCUCCAAACAAUUCACAGAAUACAUAUAUUCAGGGUUCAUACCCUCAGUUCUAAGAUUAGAAGAGUUACUUACCUCGAACAAGAUGAAUCCAAUUCUGAGCAAGAUCAAAAUGCUCCAGAAAUCCCAUUUUGUGUGUAUCAAUUUCUGAAUGGCUCGAAUCUAGCCACAAUAAAUUUGAUUCCGUCCACAUAAUUAUAUGAAUUAAUUCCUUACCAAAAUACUAAUAUUUUCCCACAAAAUUCGAAAUUACACUCCAAAAAAAUUGACCUAUCUCUGAAUCAAACGAAACUCACAAAAUCGGACAACCCAUCCAAUUACAAGUUCAACCGUACUAAUUUCACUCAAUUUCAACUUCAAAUCAAUGUUCAAAACUCCAAAAAUUCGUAUUAUGAAAUUUAGGCCAACAUCCCCAAUUUCCUCUUUAAAUUCAUCAACCAAUUGCAAGAAUGAAGAUAGAUUCAUUGAAUAUAAUCACAAGGGAAUCAAGACUCUCGCAGGUGUGAUCACAUCAGAGGCAGCAAUUCCAGCAUUUUCCUUAAGUCCGAAUUUGAUCUGUUAACCAUCCGAAACUCACCCGAGGCCCCCAAGACCUCAACCAAAUACACCAACAAGUCCUAAAACAUACCACAGACCUACCCGAGGCCUCAAAUCAUAUCAAACAAUAUCAAAAUGAUGAAUCAUACCCCAAUUCAAAAUUUAUGAUCUUAGAACUUUCAAAUUCUAUAUCUUGUUCCGAAACACAUCAAAUCAAUCCGCAAUGACUUCAAAUUUUGCAUACAAGUCAUAAAUGACAUAACGAAGCUAUUUCCAUUUCUAGAAUCGAAUUCCGACCUUGAUAUCAAAAAGUCAACCCCCCGGUCAAACUUACCAAAAAUUCAACUUUCGCCAUUUUAAGCAUAAUUCCACUACGGACCUCCAAAUAAUUUUUCGGACAUGCUCCUAAGUCCAAAAUCACCAUACAAUGCUAUUGAAAUCAUCAGAAUUCAAAUCGGAGGUCGUUUACACAUAAGCCAAUAUCCGGUCAACUUUUCUAACUUAAGCUUUCCAUUAUGAGACUAAGUGUCUCAAUUCAUUGUGAAAUCCUUCCGAACCCAAACUAACUAAUCAGACAGGUCAUAAUACAGCUAUAAAGCACAAAUAGAGCAGUAAAUGGGAAAACGGGGAUACUCAAAAUGACCUGCCGGGUCGUUACAUACGCUCGACCUGACUUCCCGCAGAGGGAUACAUAGGCAACCCACAUAGGGUCCGGUCUCUCUCUCCCCCUCUUCUUUUGGGAACUACACUGCAACUUGAUUUCCUUGGGAAGGAAUACGUAGGCAAUCCUCAUCAGAUUCAGUCAUCUUUUGUAAUUGAACUACAUUAUGUCUUGAUUCCAUUUGGAUACGUAGGUAGUCUGAGUAAGACUCGACCACUUCAUUUUCAAUCUAAUCAAUUUGCAUCUAUUGUAACUGAACUACAUUUUGACCUGAUUCCAUUUGGAUAUGUAGGCUACUUGAGUCAGGCUCGGUCAUCAUCAUCAUAUUUUCUUUAUCGUUACCCACGAACUACGUUCAUACCUGAUUCCAUUUCAAAUACAUUGGCAACCUGGAAAGGUUCGGUCAUAAACUUAGGAAAACCUUUGUAUUGCAUUAGUUUAGAUUAGGAUACAAUCGCAGAGGGAAGAAUCCACGUCAUUAGAAGCAUCUUAGAGGAUCGACAUCAACGAGACAAAAUCUUCUAGAAAAAAACAUUCGCGUUUGAGGGGUUUUCUAAACAUGUCAUAAUCUGGAGCGACGACAUUUUCCAUACGAUAAAAGAUUUUCAAAAUGUUUUCUCAAAAUUAAAAAUAAAACUACCGUUCCACCUACCAAACUUCAUGAUGUAAUGUAACACCUCAGAAGAUUUUGAAGUAUUUAAGUGUAAAGCCCCGCAAAAUUUCGAAAAUGAAUUUAAGGUUUUGUGGUGCCGGAGUAGGUAUACGUGUUUGAGGAUUUUUGAAGGCUCAGACUUUUUGGGUUGAACAAUGCACCGGAAUGUAAAGGAAAAUUUUUGGCGGAAAAGCGUGUUUCUAUGGUCCAUUAUGCGACCAAAGAACCAAUCUACGGGCCGCAUAAUGGCCGCAGAAGUGAGGCAGGAGAGGGUCAGUCUGGAAGCAAUUAUGCGAUCGACUAUGCGAUCGCAUAAGUGUUCUGCGGUGCAUUAUGCGACCAUAGAACAGUUAUGCAGACCGCAUAGUGACCGCAUACACAGACAGAUGUUUGGUCAUUUUGGUCAGCAACUAUGCGACCGAUAUGCGGUCCUCAUAUUGAUUAUGCGAUCGCAGAACCUAUUCCAGAGCUUUAUUUUUGGGUUUUUACAACCCAACCAACUUCGUUAAAUACACGCAAAGGGUCAUUUUUGAGCAAAAAUUCUGAUAUUUUAGAGAGAAAGGAGAGUGUUUUAGAGAGAGAAGAUUAACAAGGAAAUCUUCAAUUUAUUCAUCAAGUCUUGCUCAAAACUUGGAAGAUUAACAAGGAAAUAUCACAAGUUCUUCAUCUAAGAGGUAAGGUUCCAUAUCCUAGUUUUCAAUUUCGAAUUUGGGAAGAAGAUGGUUGAUUAGGAGUGUGAUUCUUGCAUAUGAGAGUAUUAUUUAUACAUGCAUGUAUCAAUAAGAUUUGUGGAAAGAUUGUUGAGCUUAAAUAAGUAAGGGUUGGGUUGUGGAGUGAAGGAAAUCUUGUAGAAGAACCUUGUGGUUAAAUUUACACACCUAGUGUUUGAUAAAUUGCUCAAACGAGCUGGGAUCAUGAAUAUCUUUCUAAUAAUGGUUCAAUUUUGUUAUGUCUCAAAAUAGAUUGGGAUUGCUAAGAAUUCCAGAAUAUUUUAGAGUUAAGAAAGCUCGAUUGAGGUAUGUUGGCUAAACUACUCUCUUAGAAUUGAAUUCAAUGAUGUUCUCAUAAGUUUCAAGCAUGGUUGUCUCAAGUUCCUUAUUCAAUGUUCCGAGUUGUUUCCAAUAAAUUCGAUUGUCUCGAAUAAGCAAAGUGUCGAGAAUUAUGUAUUCAAAAUGUGUUCUGAAUGUUCCUAUCACAUUAUGUUAUCUUUUGGGAAUGUGUUCAAGAGUGAUAUGUGUACCUAAAAUCUUGACUGGAAAUGUCUUAUUGUUGAUAAUCUAUAAAGAUGGUUGGGAGUGAAAUAAAUGAAUUGAGGAUAUAAAGUGUGGCCAACGUGCCAAUAGUGAAAGUUAUACUUGUGGCCAAUGGUGCCAAUGAAAUGAAAUAAUGUGAGAAAGAUUAUUAAAUGAUCUUUGACUCAGCUAUUCCAAAAUUGACUUCGAUAAAAUAAUUGGCUAAAAGCUUAUGAACUCAAGUGAUGCCCAUAUGUGGCUGUUUUAUCUAAUGCUAUGCUUUGUAAGUAUUAUUCAAUAUGUUUUGCGUUCUUACAUAUUCGUGAGUAGAAAUUGGGUAUGAUUUUAACUUGUGCUUCGAUUGCCAAUCAUUUUACUCCAUUUAUUGGAAAGAAAUCUAUUGUGUUUAAAGCUUUCAUUACUAAUGAACUUAAAGUUGUGAUUUUUGAAAUAUUCUACUUGUUGAUAAUUAUGAUGAUGAUCUAUGAAAGGGAAGAAAUGAAAGUGUGGAAUAUGAAAUACGACCAUUGCGCCAUGAAUAAAGAAUCAUAUGUUUGGCCAAGAGAGCCAAUGAAAUAAUAAUGUUGUAAGUGGUUGAAAGUACGGAUUAAGUGAUAUGUGGUGUGAAAGGUUAUGAGAUGUACGUAUUUGUACUUUUGUUUCCAAUGUGUUAUGAAAUCCUAUGGACAGUCUAUGAAAUGCAUAGGUAUAUUGUGUUAAGAAAUCCUGUGGACGGUCUACGAAACGCAUAGGAAUAUUGUGUUAUGAAAUCCUGUAGACGGUCUAUGAAACGCAUAGGUAUAUGGUGUUAUGAAAUCCUGUGGACUGUCUAUGAAAUGCAUAGGUAUAUGGUGUUAUGAAGUCCUGUGGAAGGUCUAUGAAAUACAUAGGUAUAUUGUGUUAUGAAAUCUUAUGGACGGUCUAUGAAACAUAUAGGUAUAUUGUGAUCUAAAAUCCUAUGGACGGUCUAUGAAACGCGUAAGUAUAUUGUAUUAUGAAAUCUUGUAGACGGUCUAUGAAAUGCAUAGGUGCAUUGUGUAUGAGAAUUAUGGGUGUACGAUAUGAAUAAACACUAUGGACGAUCUAUGAAAUGCAUAAGUGUGUAAUAUGAUAUGUGAACAUUAAGGACGGUCUAAUGAGACACAUUAUUAAUGCAGACAAUAUGUGCCACUUUCGUUGUCCUUGAUUAUACAAGGUGUUUCAAUUACAUUAUAUUAUGUGUUCCACGUAUAGAUCAUAUAGGCAUUCUCUUUUGAAAGAGGAUUACUAGAUAUACAUACUAGUGCUAUUCGACAGUACUAACGUCCCUUUUGUUGGUGGCGCUGCAUCUUUAAUGGAUGCAGGUGCUUCUACAGAAGGUGGCAUUGAUAAGUGAUAGCAGUACACUCUUUUCAGUUGAUUUGGUGAGCCCCACUUUAUUUCGGGGUCAUGUUUCUUUUAUUUCUCAUGUACUUUGUGGUUGAGGUAUAGCCGGGGCCUUUUUGCUGGCAUUUCCACAUUACUCUUCAGUUAUACUUAGAGGCUCCGUAGACAGGUUGUGGGUGGUAUUUGAUGUUGGGAGUUGGAUAAGAACUGUUGGUAUUUGGCAACAUGUUUUUCAUUAAAUCUAUAAACUCAUAUUAUUUUGGAAAUAUUGAAUGAUGCUGUUAAUAGGAAUGAAAUGGAAGCGGUUAAUGAAAUCUUUUCAGUAUUUAAUUAAUAGAGUACAUCUCCUCUUUUCUCAAGGAUGAAUUUGGAUAGAAUGAAAUCUAACAGGCUUUCUAAGUCGGGUUUACUCGGUUGAGCGCUGGUCACGCUCCCCGAGUUUGGGGCGUGACAUGUAACCUUACUAAGCCCGAGGCAGAAAGAACCACCCUCCCCCCCGCUAAGAAUUUUUCUUUGAAAGCAGGACAAACGGUACAAGGAAAUGCUGGAGCACAUUGGAGAAAUGACAGACCCGCCAUUCUCUCAUAACUAUCAUCUCUCUUUGAUUAUUCUAAUUUUUACUCAUAUAAUUAAAAACUAAAUCUCAAAUCAUUUGCAGGUAUUUCGAACCAGGUCGCCGAUGCAAGCUGAGCAUAUUGUAAAUAGCAAACCGUCUGCUCAACCGAGCUGAGCAUGUUGUAUAUAGCGAGCUGCUAGCCCUACCAAUCGGAGCCAUAUAUAUAGCAAACCGUUAACUCAAUCAAUCGGAGCGCCCUGUAUAAAUUCUAGUCAUCAGCUUCGCCAAUCGAAUCCCUGUAUAUAGCAAUUUAUUCGCUUCAUCAAUGGGAGCGUUCUGCACCGCCACUCCGACAUAUUAGAGAUUACCACUAUAUAGGUGAAAACCUCAUCACCAACGUUUUGCCGAUCGACGGCCGCAAUUUAGUUUCGUAGUCAAGAGUAUCUCUUUGGAAUUCCCCUUAUUUCUUUAUUUUAUCUCGAAUGUUUUGACGUUUUGCUCAUGCCGCUUACAGACAUGAUUACAUUUUCAUGACAGAAACUCCCAUCGUGCAGAGAUACGUUGCAUUUAAAUGCAACUACUCCCAUCACGCAGAGAUACAUUGUACAGCUACUCCUAUUAGGCGGAGAUACAUUCUACAUUACAUGUCAACUACUCCCAUCAGCGGAGAUACUCUCAAUGUUAGUAGACUUAAUGCUCUGACAGCAAUGGAAUGUAACACAACCCAGCUAACAAUCGAGUCAAAUUCAAGUAACCCAUCAUCCCAUUAGUGCAUCAUCAUCAUUAGUGCAUCAUUUAUCACAUAUCAUCAUUAGCAUUUACAUCACAUUUUAACAUAUAUGCAUUAUGGUAUAUGGGUAAGUGUAUUUUAUUUUUACGGGAUCAAUUAUCGCGACAUGAAAUUUCUUCUAAGCAGCAAACCAAGAAACAAUGCUAUGAGUGACAACAAACUCAUAAGCGGGCCAAGGACCCGGACUCAAACUCGAAAAUAAUCACUGGAACUCUACUUCUUCAAAUCCUUCAAAUCAAGCAAAAAUUCAAGAGCUAUCAUGGGUACCAAAUCUUAUGUCAUGCAGUUUCAUCAUAAUAUGAUACUGGGGCAAUUCUUGGGAGCAUCGCCUCCUCCGAAUCAUCACUCUAGAACUACAUAAGGCCUGAUCUUCGUUAAGCCCGAAGUAUGUAAAAAUUCAAAGCCAGAAUUCGGCCCCAACUCCCCAAAAUUCUCCCUGAAUUUCCCUUAAACUCCUAAUUCUACAACUCAUAAUCUUCCUUAAAUCUGUAUGCCAUUCAUGCGAUGUAUUCCUAAAGUUGGGGCAAAAUUGGCCUUGGUUCAAUUUCUUUGCCCGAAAACUCUUUCAGCGUCUCCGGUCAAAGAGGGGCAGCUGUUGACGAUCAACUUUGACCCUCCUUUUAAAAUUUAAUUUAUUUACACUUAUUAAUUUCCAAUAUAUGUUAAAAAUAUUUUCUAAUUAAUAAAAACUAUUUUUAAGUAAUUAAUAGUUUUAAUUAGUAAUUUAUUCAUUAUAUAAUUAUAAAAAUAUUAUCUUUACUAUUUUACCAUUUUUUAUAAAUAUUAAAAUAAUUUUCAUAUUCAUCACAUAGGUAUAUAAUUAUUUUAAUAAGCUAUUCCUCAAUAUUUGGCAACACAUCCUAUUAUUUCAAAAUGAACUCGGAGUUACUGUAGUAAAUAGGAAAAUAUGAUAUUUGGUAACUAAUUAGUUAUUUAUAGUAAUUGGUAGUAUAUUUAAUUAUUAUAAUUUCUACUGCAUUUUGUUGGAAUUAUUUAUGUUUAAUUAAAUUAAUCUUUAAAGGGAUGAAGACCAAAUGGCUACAUUUACAAUUGUACAAUUAAAUACAAAGGGAUUAUUCUUUAAAAUAUUUUUAGCCCAAUAUCCAAUCCCAAACGUAUCUGAUCCAGUCCAAAUGCCCCUGUAAUCCACUUUGGCGAUUCAAGACCCCCCCCUACACCAAUCAAAACUCGCCAUUCCCCACACCGCUCACAAAAGAAACCCAAUCAAUCUCGGCCUUCCAUCUCUCAGAUUAGCGGCCCGUGUUUAUCCUUAUUUUCCCCUUUAAUUUUAAUACUCUGUCAGAUUCAAUCUUAACCGUCCAAAUCCUAGAAUCCAACGGUAUUAAUAAUACACCAUUUUAAUUAUUUAAUCUUUGAUUUAUUAGGACCGUUGAUCUAAAGAUCCGACGGCCCAGAUCUCUUCAACCCGUUUAAGCCCCUAGAGACCAACCUAAUCCCCUCAAACCCUAAUCAUUAGUCUCCCAGACUCGGCCACCCCCCUUUCCCCUUCCUGUCUCUAUUCUCUCAAAUCCAAGACCCCAUAAAUCCCAAAAACCUUGCACCAAAUUGUGCAAGGUUGUAAAUAAUGACUUCAAAUCAUCCCUUGUGCCUUCUGACUCCGUGAAUCUCGCCAAUGUCUCCUUAUUUCAUCAUAUGAAUUCGAAAUCUCAAGUUUUUUGACUUAGACUCGAAGAUGAAACUUCAAAUCUUCAAGAUCUUCUUGUGAUGCAAACAAAUCAGAGCAUGCAUGAGCAUCUCAUUAUGUUUAUUCGAAAUCGGAGGUCAAAUGCAAUGACCUAUGGAUUUUCAUUCUUCGUCCGAUGGUUUUUAGUAUGUUUGGUUGAGGUGCCGAUGGCCUCGGGUUAAUUUCGGAUGAUUGUCGGAUUGAUUUGAAGUUAGAGAGGAAUGCUGAAGCUCACCAGCUUCUAGUGUAAUCGCACCUGCAUAGUAGGGAUCGCAUGUGCAUUCUCGCAGAAGCGAGAUGGGAGCCGCAGAAGAGGCCAAGGAGGAAGUGAUCAGAGGUUGCAGGUGCGAUGUUAUCUUCACACCUAUGUGAUCACAAAUAUGAUGUUAAGGGUGCAGAAGUGGAGAGCUAGUAUGUGCGAUGGGGAGUUCCGCACCUGCGGAUGCGCAAAUGCGAGGCAAGGACCGUAGAAGAGGAGGCCCAGCUCCAAUGGUUCACCGUAGAAGCAGAAGUUUGGCAACUUCUGUGACACCGUAAAUGCAAUUAAGUGUCAGCAGAAGCUUAAAGGCUGGACAAAAAGUUAAAUCCAAGGAUCUGCAAUUUUGGCUUCAUUUCAAACAUUUCAUGCACGGUUUAGGCGAUGUUUGAGAGGGUUUUGAGUGGAUUCUUGAGGUAAGUCCCUUGUGCUCAUUUUUGAUCAAUAAUAUUGCUUCCCCAUUGAUUUUUCCCACCUAGUUGGUAUGUAUUUAAGGUGUAAAUUGGGAGUUUGAGGCUAGGGAUUUGGAGGGUUCGAUUUGGGGAUUUGGGUGACAAUUUGGUGUCGAAUUUUGAUAAAUUUGGAAUGGACAUACUCGUGGUUGAGUGGGAUUUUGUGUUUUGUGACUUUUAUUGAAUUUCGAGACGUGGGCCCAGGGUGGCUUUUGAGCCAAUUUUUUAUUUUGAUUAAUAACUUAGUAAUUUCUUAUGGAGUUGAUUCCUUUAGCCCGUAUUGAUUUUAUCGCAUUGUUUGUGGCUAGAUUCGAGGUUUGCAGAGGCCAUUUCGCGAGGCACGGGGGUGUUGGAGUACAAAUUUGCUCAUAUUGAGUUAAGUAACAUUUCUAAAUUUCGUUCUGAGGGUACAAAACCCCGUAUUACGUGUCAUGUUUUUGGUUUUGAGGAGACACACAUACUAGGUGACAGGCGUAUGGGCGUGCACUGUAGGAAUUGUGACUUGGUCAAAUUUCGUGGAAAUGUGUAGUUGUAUAAUAUUAGAGCCUAGGUUACAUAGGUCUCACGAGUCAUGAUCAGGUUUAGUAGAGUCUUGCAGAUCGGUAUGAAGACGUCUGUACUUAUCUUCGAAAGGCCACCGAACCCAUAGGAAAUUUCACAUUCUUGUAUUCUCAUCGUGCAGAUUUGUUGUUUCCGGUAACUAAACGUCUGUAUUGUAUUCUAUCCCAUAUGGUGAGGACACGUGCUACCGGAUAGGAUGGACAACCACUAGUACCACCAGCUAGGGCCACGAGAGGUCGAGGUCGCGGUAGGGGUCGCGAUAGGGGUAGAGGUGCAACUCGUACAACAGCUAGAGCAGUACCUGUAGAUCCAUCAAUUACUCGAGCUCAGGAGUAGGUUCCACAUGUAGUUGAGACAGUGGAGCCAGCUUAGGCACCAACUGUGCCCAUUGUGAUUCCAGACCUUCAGGAGGCGUUGGCCCAGGUGUUGACAAUUUGCAUUGGUCUUGCUCAGGUGGUUUUGGCUCAGGCCGCACCAGCCACUUCUCAGGCCCGGGGAUGGACUUCACAUAUCGGAGGUACAACCCGCCCAACCAGUUACAGCUGCUCAGGCCCUGAUGGUCCCAGUUAUGGCUGAUGAUGAGUAGAGGAGUCUUGAGAUAUUUGGGAGGCUCCGGCCUCCAUCAUCUAGCGGUGCUGAGUCGUAGGAUGCCCAUGUCUUCUUCGACAAGUGCCAGCGGAUGCUUCGUACAGCAGGUAUUCAGGAGACUAGUGGGGUCGCGUUCACUACCUUUCGGUUAUCUGGGGCUGCCUUCCGAUGAUGGGAGGCUUAUGAGAGGCACAUGGCAGUUGGUUCAGAACCACUUGCAUGGUAGGAGUUCUCCAUUCUCUUUUUGUAGAAGUUCGUGUCGCAGUCUCACAGGGAGAAGCUACAUAGACAGUUUGAGCAGCUUCGGUAGGAUGGUAUGUCUAUGACCCAGUACGAGAUGAGUUUUUUUAAGUUUGCUCAUCACACAGUUUGGUUGGUUCCCACUAAUCGGGAGAGGAUCAUGAGGUUCAUUUAUGGACUCACGUAUCAGUUUCGGUUUCUUAUGACUAGGAAGAAGGUAUCUGGUGCAAAUUUUGAUGUGGUGGUUGACAUUGCUCGGCAGCUAGAGAUGGCCCAUAGCUAGGAGCAUGGUAUAAGGGAGGCUAAGAGGCCUCGAGGUUUGGGCGGUUUUUGUGGUGUGCCUUCUGAGGGGCAGUCCUACCACAGCAUGGGUCAUCCUUAUAGGCCCGCUCAGACGGCCCGUCUAGCUCAUCGUGGUGCAUCAGCUAGCCACGGUUCUUACAGCACUCACUCAAGCCGGUCUUUAUUCUGUGCACUACCAGCACAGAGUUCUCACCAUGCCUCAUCCUCUCAGGUUUCUGCAGGUAGUUCUGCGGGUUAUCAGGAGUAGCAUUUUCGUUAGAGGAGAGGUUAUUUCGAGUGCGAAGACUUUGGUCAUAUCAAGAGAGAUUGCCCUAGGUUGUUGAGUAGGGCUCCCCAACAGAGUUCUCGGCUGAUGGCACCAGCACCAACAGUUACACCACCCACUCACCCAGCUCAGGGUGGGGCUCAGUCUAUUAGGGGUCGCCCUAGAGGGGGAGGUCGCUCAGGUGGCAGUCAGGCCCGAUUCUAUGCUAUCCUUGCCAUACCAGAUGUUGUUGCCUCCGAUGCAGUGAUCACAAGUAUUGUCUCAGUACGCCACAUGGAUGCUUCUUCAUUAUUUGACUCUGGUUCCACAUAUUCGUAUGUAUCAUCGUAUUUUUCUCAUUAUCUGGAUAUGCCCCGUGAGUCCUUAGUUUCAUCUGUUCGUGUAUCUAAGCCAAUGGGCGAUACUAUUAUUGUGAAUCAUGUGUAUCGAUCAUGUGCAGUUACUAUUGGGGGAUUAGAGACUAGAGCGGAUAUUGGGUAUGGAUUGGCCGUUUCUAUGUAAUACUGUUAUGGAUUGUCAUGCUAAGACCGUGACGAUGGCGAUGCCGGGGUUGCUAAGUAUCGAGUGGAGUGGUUCUCUAGACUAUGUUCCCAGCAGAGUGAUUUCAUAUUUGAAGGCCCAACGGAUGGUUGGGAAGGGUUGUUUGUAUUAUCUGGCCUUUAUGAGGAAUAUUGGUGCUGAUUCUCCUGCUAUUGACUAUGUUCCGGUGGUGCGUGAUUUUUCGGAGGUGUUUCUUGCAGACCUGUCGGGCAUGCCGCCCAACAGACCUGUCCGGGGAGCCUCGGGUUGAUUUCGGAUGGUUGUCGGAUCGAUUUGAAGUUAGAGGGGAAUAUUAAAGCUCACCAGCUUCUAGUGUAAUCGCACUUGUAGAGUGGGGAUCGCAUGUGCGUUCUCGCAAAAGCGAGAAGGGAUCUGCAUAAGCGGCUAGGGAGGAAGUGAUCAAAGGUUGCGGGUGCGAGGUUAUUUCCGCACCUGUGUGAUCGCAUAUGCAGUGUUAAGGGCACAGAAGCAUAGGGCUCGCAGGUGUGAUGGGGAGUUCCGCACCUGAGGAUGCGCAGAUGUGAGGCGAGGACUGCAGAAGCGAAAUGUUGGUCGCUUCUGCGACACCGUAGAUACGGUUAUGAGUCUGCAAAAGUAGAAAGGCUGGAUAGAAAGUUAAAUACAAGGAUUUGCGAUUUUGGCUUCAUUUCAAAUAUUUCAAGCACGGUUUUGGUGACUUUUGAGAGGGUUUUUGAGGGGAUUCUUGAGGUAAGUCCCUUUUGAUCAUUUUUUAUCAAUAAUAUUGCUUCCCCAUUGAUUUUCCCCACCUAGUUGGUGUGUAUUUAUGGUGUAAAUUGGGAGUUUGAGGCUAGGGAUUUGGAGGGUUUGAUUUAGGGAUUUGGGUGACGAUUUUGAUAAAUUUAGUAUGGAUAGACUUGUGGUUGAGUGGGCUUUUGGGUGUUGUGACUUUCAUGAAAUUUCGAGAUGUGGGCUCGAGGGUCUGACUUUUGAGCCGAUUUUUGAUUUUGAUUAAUAACUUAGUAUUUUCUUAUGGAGUUGAUUCCUAUAGCCUGUAUCUAUUUUAUCGCAUUGUUUGUGGCUAGAUUCGAGGCAUUCAGAGGCCGUUUCGCGAGGCAAGGGGGUGUUGGAGUAGAGAUUUGCUUGUAUUGAGGUAAGUAACAUUUCUAAAUUUGGUUUUGAUGGUACGAAACCCCGUAUUACAUGUCAUGCAUUUGGUUUUGAGGAGACACACAUGCUAGGUGACGGGCGUGUGGGCGUGCAUCGUAGGAAUUAUGACUUGGUCAAAUUCCAUGGAACCGUGUAGUUGUAUAAUAUGUUGUUAUCUGUAUAUUCUCCAUGCAGUAUAGAAAUUAAACCACAAAUCAUGUUAGAAAUCACGUUUGGACUGUGUGUUGGCACUGUAGGGACCCGCAAAGGUCGUGUACAUGUUGAAUUAUCUGCUAAAUUUUUCUUUUGUACUCGAUCACAAUUUUACUUGCUUAUUAUAUCUCAGUCUCUAUUGUUCCUUGUUGAUACAUUAUGUCAUUUCUAUUGGGGCUGACUUUCAUGACUAGAGCCUGAGAGACUAGAGAGAUUUAUGACUGAGUAAGGCAGAGGGCCCGAUUAUGAGAUAGUAAUACUAUAGCACGUCAGUUGUCCGUGCAGAUUCAGAUAUUAUACUAUAGCACGUGAGUUGUCCGUGCAUCACGUGAGUUAUGCUAACCCAGGGGCAUCCGGUCACGGCGGUUGCUAAGUUUUGGUGUUCAGAUUCUCAGAGACUAUCGAGGUAGUUGCUUGGAGUUUUGCAGACCUUGUUUCUCCUUCACUAUCUUUCCACUUAUUGUAUUUAGUUUCAGACUAUUGAUGGUAGGCUAUAAUUGCAGGUUUUAGCUGCUUAUCGCACUCUAAUUUACUGCACUUUAAUUGAGUUGAGCUUUAAUCGCUUGUGUUUUACACUAAUUAUAUAUUUUAUGCCUUGUAGGAGUGAUUCCGAACUAUAUAGAUGUUAUAGGGUGAAUUCACGCUAUUUUGGAGCUUUAAAGUCUGAGUAAAAGCCCAAGGCCUUAGUUGGGAUCGAGUUUGGGGAUCAACUGACACUAGUGCAUUCAAAGAGAGAGACAAAGAAUCGACCCGGGUGUCACCCAGGUGCGCAAGCGCGAACUGGAUGUGAACUGGGCGCACAUGUGAGGCAGUGUAUUGUGCAAAAUGCGCGACCAAGUGUGCGAGCACAUCUCCAGGUGUGUGGCCGCGCACGUCCAGUUUAGGGAGAGUCCUAUUUCGUGAAUGAGAAGGUGUGUUUGUUUGGGCCCGACCCUACUUGAUAUAUAUACAUGGAAAAUGGUAUUUUGAGGACUUUUGACACAUCUAAGACCUAAGCAGGCUACGGAGAAGUGGGAGAAGCAAGAGCACAAGGAUUUCAUCAUUUAAUCCUAACUCAGGACAAGGGUUUGAAUUGUUUUAUGUUUUCCUUUAACUUAAACUUAAUUGUGAUGAAUUACUCCAUAUCUAUGGAGUAGUUCUCUUUAGGUAUUGAUGGAUUUGGUGUAUUGAGAAUUGUUUGUGGAUAUUACCUCAAGUUUUUAUGUAUUGAAUCAUUUUUGGGCGUUUUAAUUAUUGCAUCUAUUUUCACAUGUUCAUGUAAUCAAAUGAGGCAUAACUUGUGAUGUUUUUGCAUUAUCUUGUUGGUUAAAUUCAUUGAUUUUUCUUUGUAAUCGAAAAAGGAUAGUUGAAUUAUUGUUUAUACUUAGGAGGAAAAUCAAAAGAGGUUCUCCUAAAGACCAAUCCACUAUCUUAACCGAGCUUAACUUAGUUCUUAUUGUGAGGUUGAGAUUUAAUCGAGAGAGGAGAUUCUACUGAACGCUUGAACCAAUAAUAGAGUGAAUUCGAGAGACUCACUUGAACCUUAGAAGUGAAUCGACUAGAGUAAAAUCCUAGACAAUUAUCUUGCACCUAUCCAAUCAACCCCUUAUUUUCUCCCAUUGAUAUCUUUCCUUACUCAUUACUUGCGUUGAUUGUCAUUAGUCAAUAGUCUAGACUUUUAGUAAAUUUUAGUUUUAAAUGACACAAAUCUAAAUUGUCGAUCAUCUUGGAUAGCCAUUAAACUAGAAGCUACGAAAACACUGUUUCUAUACUAUAUUCGACUAGCGAGCAUAUUCAAGUGUGUAUUUUAAGCUCGUCAAUUUAGGCGUCGUUGCCGGGGAUUGGCAAUUAAUAGUAUUUGAAAUAGUUUAUAGUGCUAAUUCAGGAAUUUUUCUUUUUAUUUUAUUUUUUUCUCAUUUUACGUUUGGUGUUACUUGAUUGUGCACAGGCUACAGGUUAGAUUGGUGUAUGACUCGAUCUUCUGGGAAGGAAGUACUCCCAUACAAACCAGAAAUCGAAAAACAACUGCGACAGUUGAGGAAGGAAAGAAAUCUCUCCGAGAAUACAGAGAAGGUAGGGCAAUCCUCAAGUAAGGAAGUUAUGGCGGGAGAUGAGGAUAAUAUUGAUUUGGCUGCGAGGGAGGCAUACCAGCAAAGAGAAAAAGUUGCACGAGAUGCGAAUGAGACAGCUCUUUAAAAUACACAACUUGUCUUUGAGGAGGAGAGGGAUCGGGAAUGACUCGAAAUCAACCUUUUGAUUUAACAUAUAUGUAUUACGGUAUAUGGGUAUCGCGACAUGAAAUUUUUUCUAAGCAGCAAACCAAGCAACAAUGCUAUGGGGGACAACAAGCUCAUAAGCGGGCCAAGGUCCCAGACUCAAACUAGAAAACGAUCGGUAGAACUCUAAUUCUUCAAAUCCUUCAAAUCAAGCCGCAAUUCAAGAGCUAUCAGGGAUACCAAAUCUUUCGUCUCGUAGUAUCGUCAUAAUACUAUACUGGAAAAAUUCCUGCGAGCAUCACCUCCUUCGUAUCAUUACUUCAGAACUACAUGAGGCCUGAUCCUCAUUAAGCCUGAAGUAUGUAAAUAAUUCAAAGCCAGAAUUCGGCCCCAACUCCCUAAAAUACUCCCAGAAUUUUCCAUAAACUCCUAAUUCUACAACUCAUAAUCUUCCUUAAAUCCAUAUGCCAUUCCUGUAAUGUAUUCCUAAAGUUGGGGCAAAAUUGGCCUUGGUUCAAUUUCUUUGCCCGAAAAUUCUUUCAGCGUCUCCGGUCAAAGAGGGGCAUCUGUUGACGAUCAAUUUUGACCCUCCUUUUAAAACUUAAUUUAUUUACACUUAUUAAUUUCCAAUAGAUGUUAAAGAUAGUUUCUAAUUAAUAAAACCUAUUUUUAAAUAAUUAAUAGUGUUAAUUAGUAAUUUAGUCAUUAUUUAAUUAUAAAAAUAUUAUCUUUACUAUUUUACCAUUUUUUUAGAAAUAUUAAAAUAAUUUUCAUAUUCAUCACAUAGGUAUAUAAUUAAUUUAAUAAGUUAUUCCUCAAUUUUUGGCAACACAUCCUAUUAUUUCAAAAUGAACUCGGAGUUAGUGUAGUAAAUAGGAAAAUAAGAUAUUUGAUACCUAAUUAGUUAAUGAUUGUAAUUGGUAAUGUAUUUAAUUAUUAUAAUUUCUACUGUAUUUUAUUGGAAUUAUUUAAGUUUAAUUAAAUUAAUCUUUAAAGGGAUGAAGACCAAAUGGCUACAUUUUCAAUUGUGCAAUUAAAUACAAAAGGACUAUUCUUUAAAAUAUCUUUAGCCCAAUACCCAAUCCCAAACGUAUCUGAUCCAGUCCAAAAGCCCCUUUAAUUCACUUUGGUGAUUCGCGUCCCUCUCCCUACAACAAUCAAAACUCGCCAUUCCCUACACCACUCACAAAAGAAACACAAUCAAUCUCGGUCGUCCUUCUCUCAGAUUAGCGGCCCGUGUUUUUUAUCCUUAUUUUUCCCUUUAAUUUUAAUACUCUAUCAGAUUCAGUUUUAACCUUCCACAUUCAAGCAUCCAAUGGUAUUCAUAUUGCACCAUUUUAAUUAUUUAAUCUUUGAUUUAUCAGGUCCGUUGAUCUAAAAAUUUGACGGCUCAGAUCUCUUCAACCCGUUUAAACCCCUAGACCAACCAAAUCCCCUCAAACCCUAAUCAUUUGUCUCCAAGACUCGGCUGUCCCCCUUUCCCCUUCCUCUCUCUAAUCUCUCAAAUCCCAGACCCCAUCAACCCCAGAAACCUUGCACCAAAUCGUGCAAGGUUGUAAAUAAUGACCUCAAAUCAUCCCUUGUGCCUUCUGACUCCGCGCAUCUCGCCGAUGUCUCCUUAUUUCAUCAAAUGAAUUCAAAAUCUCAAGUUUUCAGACUUAGACUCAAAGAUGAAACUUCAAAUCUUCAAGUUCUUCUUGUGAUGCUACAAAAUCAGAGCAUACAUGAGCAUCUCAUUAUGUUUAUUCGAAACUGGAGGUCAAAUGCAAUGACAUCUGGAUUUUUGUUCUUUAUUCGAUGGAUUUCUCACCUGCAACGGCAUUCUUCCACUCAAGUAAAACUCCUACGAUUUUUCCCUCUAAUCUUUUGAUUUUCACUCUUUUUGCUCGCAUAAAUAAACCCUCCGUCACUCUCCAGUAUCGAUUUGACUUUUUGUUGAACCCUAAGGCAUCAUCGGCAAAUAUAAAUAGGAGCCUUCAAUCCCCCUACCUAACACGACCUAACACACAACACAACAUACAAAACAGAACAGAAAGCUUAAGAGAAUAAAAGCCCUAAACUUAUCACUGAUUUUCUUUUCCUUCUCCGCUGUUGAGUUCGUCUACUAUUCGAGCUUGAGUUCGGAUUCUUAACGGCUAAACAAGAAGUUUUUGCUUGGUUUGCUGUUCCGUAGAAGGUCAGUGUACACUGACCCUCCCUUUCUUUUGAUCAUUCUUAUUGUUCUAUGAUAUAUCAUGUUUUCUUCUGUUGGUUAUUGUCAUCCAUGAUGCGUGUUAGUUGUUUUUGAUUGAUUAUUAGGUUCCGCUCUUAUGUGUUAUCAUUAUUGUUUGAGUUAAUCAUCUCCUAAUAAUUUGUGUUAGUAUGGCGGGUUAAUCUAUGUUAAUGAACUUCAUGACUUAAUUGGAUAAAUAGUUGUUAUUAGAGAAUGACAAAAACUUUUCUGAGCUUUUUUCAUUGCUUAGAAAUCUUUUAAUGAUUCUAUAUGUGUUUGUUAACUGUAAUACCAUGUUUAGGUAGCUUGAUCAAGCAGUAUUCUUUAAACAUCUCUUGAUAUCUCGUCAAGGGUUGAUGUCUGCUACAUUUUUGCUAUAUUGUCUCUUGAAGAUAAGCAAUGCUAUAUCAUUUGUCAACAUUUAUUUUCCUCAUGGUAUCUAUGUUAUACCGACGUAACUUGUUUGCUUAGAUUGAUUAAUCUGCUAUUGAAACCAUGCUUACCUUAACAUGUAAAACUCACAUGAUUUUGUGACUUUUACUUCUGUGGUGGAUUCACUAGCUUAGUUGUUGGAACAUCUGCUCACUUUAUAUGUUAUGUAAGCUUGCAAACCUUUAGAAAUACUACAUUAUAUAUAUAUAUAUAUAUAUAUGCCUGGGUUGCUUCCCCUCGUCCAAUAUGCUUCUAUGAUUUUGAGACUUCUUAAGAGAUUACUAUAAAGGUGCUCUUGUCCGCUUCUUUGGUUAUGUGAUCAUAUCUAUGAAGGCUCACCCAAAUGUAAAUAUGUCUUGAAAUGAGACUGGUUUAGGUUCUAAUGAAUUUUUGUAGUUAAUAUGAAGUUUGACUACUACAAUUGAUAUAGACCGAGCAUGUUUAGAAUUGUCUUCAAGGACCUGAUUAAGAGACAAAAUUUGGUUGAGAGUUAUAACUGUUGUAAAUGUAUAUCACCCCUGAACUAACCAUACGAAGUUAAACUUCAUCAUGCUUGAGCUGAUGCAUUCACCUGUGUAACUGGCCUACUUAUCUUGCUUCUAGUAUCCUACUUAUUCCAUGUUAAACCUUCUUUGAUAUGAACUUUUGUACUGAAUUUGUUUGCCUGACCCUAUGCUCUAUCAUAUUGUAGUCUUACACUCCUUAGGGACAUUUCUUGUAUGUGUUUGAUUGUAUGCUCUUGGAUAUUUGUACUCAUUCCUGUUAUCAAACAGACAUCUGCUUAUCUUUCAUACUCAUGCCUAUGUUCUCAGAUAGCCCUAAAACAUAAAGAAGAUUGAACCUUGCUAAGUUUGCAUAAGUCAACUAUGAUUCAUUUGUGAAUUUGAGAGAGUCUUCUGAUGAUAUUUGUUCUGCUUAAGUACAAUAUUAUGCCUUGACUCUUAAUGAACCAAGUGAGAAUGUGAUAUCAAGAAUCUUUUAAGGAGAAAGUAAUCAUCUAUUAGAGUUGAAACCAAUUUGUUUGCUUAAAUACUCAUGUUAAUUCUCUUUAAAGAUCCUAUAUGAAACUAUUAACCCAUACGCCUAUUAAAACUUUAGACUUGAUAUGUGCAUGCACACCUUAUUAACUUAAGCUAGAUUGUUAAGUUUGAGGACCUUUAUAAAUUUGAACUAUGCACCUCUUCUGCUUUUUAUGUUGCCCGACUCAAUGAUUUGAACCUUUGAAAUAAUCUACUAUUGAUCUUUUCCCUUAAUUGUACUUGUAAUUGUUUUCUAUGGACAUUAUUCUGCAUAUUAACGAUUCUUAACAAUGAACUACACAUUGGUGUUUGGAUUGUGAUCUCUUUAAUGUUAUCUGUUAGUACAUGUUCACAAUAACAUUCUAUGUAGUUACUGCUGGAAGUACACAUGCCUAAAUCUUUGAAUUAUUGUUACAACUGUAUUGAAAAUUACAAAUAAAUGCCUCAUUGACAUUUAAACCUAUAAAGAGGAGUAAGUAUGAGUGGUUAGGGGUAUUUAGGAGUGAAAUUUAAUUUGUGGUUCAGAUACUCUCCCUGACACAAUCAUUGCUCGGGGUCCUUGAGACCCUUGUAAAUUUUGAAGUGCUAGGGGCUCAAAGGGUGUAUUGGCUAUAAAUGGAAUUUCACCUUAAGCCCUUAAUCAUUGACAUUUGAUAAUCUCUUUAGGGUUAGUGUCUAAUAAAGAAAUGGCUUCAUUGUAAUUUUCCUUACUCUGUUUGAUUUUACACAGUUUCAUUUACAUUCUUAACCAUCAAUAUCUGUGACAGUCUCAUUUGGGCCUUGUGUUUGAUCUUAUCUGCAUUUAAACAUUUUGUUGGGCUUCAACACAAAUUUAUUCCUUUUUCUCUUAAGCAUGUAACUGAACUGGGCCUGUUGAGGUUUUAAGAACUCAGGCCCAAGUUCCAGCUUUUGAGUCUAAAGUCAGGGGAGCCGCUGCUUCUUGUCCGCUAUUCGCUGGGCCUAACCUUCUUCAAGCCCAAAUUACUGAGUCUAGUUCCUUUUCCUUCCUCGUUGUUAGAUGAAUUGAAUCUGUUAUCUUUUUCUUUACAUGUGUAUAAUACUAACGAUAUUGAUUGAAUGUUUUAUUUUUCUUAAACCUUUUAGGAACCUUGGCAAGACAAGAUCCAUAGGUAAUAAAAGAAAUCACUGUUACAUUACAAUUAGCCAUAAAAUUUUGGCACUUUGAUCAUUUAUUUAAUAAGAUUUCAUUUUUAAUCACGCUAACCAUUUUAAUGGAAUUCUUUGAAGUUCAAAACAAAUUUGAAAAGCAAUGCAAUUCUUCUAAAGCCGGAAUUGAAAAGGUAGAUUUGAAAAUUAGUUUUUCUUAUAAACAAAAUUAACACGGUUGGAAUCAAGGGUUAUUAAACUUUCAACAAUUUGUCUUCAAACACGUCUCUACCAAUUGAAACAAAUUACGAAAUGUAUAUUCAAGGCCCAUUUCUAAUAGUCUUUACUGUACUAGAAUUUUAUAAGUAACCAUGUUAUAAAGUAUUCAAAUAUUUCCACAUCUUACGUCUUUCAAAUCUGGUAGGUGUAAAUGUUAUAAAGACAUUUUUUCUAAUCUCUUUAAUCAUGUAGAUAUAAACAUUUUAUGAGGCUUUUACAAAUUAAACGUACAUCCUCUUUCAAAGUACAUAUAUUAUUUUAUUUCAAAAUGAUAAGUUUCUAAAAUAUAACAUAGUGUAAUUCACACAUAUUUAGCACUAGCUAAAGUAGAAUAUAGACGUUCAAUUCCCCGAACCUAGUCUAUGCCCUAUGGAGCUACCUCAGGUAGAUUUUAGGGGGUGCCUAAAACAUUCCUCUUAGAAGAACAAGAACCCUUACCCAAAUCUCACUGGUUCGCAGACUAAUAGGAUAAUGAUCUUAAUAAUUAAAUAGGUACCCUAGUAUACCUUUAAAUAUUAGGUGGCGACUCUCUUUUAUCAUCAACAGGAAAAUCACUAGUUGAAUCUUGUUUUGACUCGUUUAAAAUAUGGUGCAACAGAUACAAUGAAGGAAACAUGUAAAAUGCAUGAAAAACAUAAAGAAUUCACCUACAUAAUAAAAAAUAGCACCCUCCGUAAUAACAAUAUCCAACCUUAUCACUUCGUAAUAACAAUAUCAACCCUCAUCACUUCGUAAUAACAUUAUUCACCCUUAUAUCUCCAUACUCUAACACAAUAAUAGUAUCAAUCACAACCGCAUGGCAAAACCCGUGUGCCAAUGCCCAAUAAAUCUGCCCAACAAGUCUACAUGUGCCAUAAUCACAAUAAUACAAGAUAAAAAAUUAUCAUCAAUAGGCAUAUCAUCAUAACUCAUCAAUAAAGUGCACAAGGACAUUGUCACACCCCAACCUCGGGAGGUGCGAUCGGCACACGACGCCUGAAGGCCUGUGCAAACUAAAACCAACUGUCGUGAUGGCGCCUAUCGUGGAACUCGGCAAGCCAAUUACUCAACUAUUCCAACAUAACCAAAAUAUUUGAAAAAAUAUGGAAGAAGUUAGUAUUUAAGGAAAAAUCUUUGAAAAUAGAAAAAUACGCAACCCAAUAUAAUCUCUCCCAAAACCGGGGUGUCAUCGAGUACAUGAGCAUCUACAACAGAAGAUAGUCUAAUACUGAAAUACAUGUAAUGAUAACGAAGGAGGCUCAAGGUCUGCGAACGUCAUACAGCUACCUUGAUAGUCUCCCGAGAUCCCGACUCUACACUCAGCAGCCGCCGUGACCGGAAGCACCUGGAUCUGCACACGAGGUGCAGGGUAUAGCAUGAGUACAACCAACUCAAUAAGUAACAACUCCAAACUUUGGACUGAAAGUAGUGACUAACUCAACCAGCACAACUCAAUAUAGAAGUAACAGUGCAUAAACGUAGGCAUGCUUUUAAGUUCAGCAGAUAAACUCAUAACAGUAAAAUAGAUCAAACCUAAAUGAUAAGAAGAAUAUAACUUCUCUACUCCUACAUGCCAAUGCACAUGCUGUAUGUGAUGCACCAUGUUGUCAGCCUCAUAUUCUCACACUCUCAUUUGCUCAAUCACUCAGUACUGUAUAUGGUCUAUCCGGCUCGAGAAAGAUCAAUCCCUGAAUAUAUACAUCGACUGACCAUCAGUCAUCCAGUACUGAGUAGGGCCAAUUCAGCUCGUGGGGAAGAUCCAUCCCUAGCUAUAUAAUGCUUCGGACAAGAUCCAUGUCCAGGGAAGAUCCAUCUGAACAAAAAUACCUUCUAUGCGAACGUGAAUCAACCACUCGUGAGCGCGAACCUUUACUGUCCUCUUUCAUCGCAAACGCGACCGCACCUCCGCGAAGGCAUAGACCAAAUGCAUGGGGUCCCCAGUUGCCUCUUCCCUUCUUUGCGAACGCGUUCCUCAUCUUGCGUUCGCGAUGCACUCUCUGUCCAACCUCCGCAAACGCAUCCUCUUCUUCACGAAUGCGAUGAGAAAUAUUUCCUCAGCCUCCAGAUGCACUUCGCGAACACGAGACCAUUCUUGCGAAUGCAUAAGAGAAAACCAGAUCCAACCAAAAGUCAGUAAACUCAACUUCAGCAAUCUCCCAACUUCAAUUCUUGAUACGUUAACCACCUGAAACUCACCCGAGGCCCUCGGGACCUCAACCAAGCAUACCAUCAAGUCCCAAAACAUCAUACGAACUUAGUUGAACUCUCAAAUCACCUCGAACAACAUCAAAAACACGAAUCACACAUAGAUUCAAGCCUAAUGUACUUUGAAUUUCCAAAUUUCUACAACUGACGCCUAAACCUAUCAAAUCACGUCCGAUUGACCCCAAAUAUUUCACACAAGUACCAAAUGAUACCCUGAUAUCAAAAAUCCCACUCCCGGUCAAUUUUCCCAAAAAUUGAACUUUCUCCAUUUUAAGCCUAAUUCCGCUAUGGACAUCCAAAUCACAAUCUGGACACGCUCCUAAGUCCAAAAUCACCCAACGCAGCUAACGGAACCAUCAAAAUUCAAAUCCAGGGUUGCUUACACACAAGUCAACAUCCGAUCAACUUUUCCAACUUAAGCUUUCCAUUAUGAGACUAAAUGUCUCAAUUUAUUCUGAAAUCUUUUCGGACCCGAACCAACUAACCCGAUAAGUCAUAUAACAGCUAUAAAGCACAAAAGAAGCAGUAAAUAGGGGGAUGGGGCUACAACUCUCAAAACGACCGGCCGGUUCAUUACAUGAAAUCACCUCUUCGGUUCGCAACUUACGAACUUGACGAUCUCGGAUAGCCAUUUAGAUUUCCUCAUAAGUUAGGUCCUGUAUAACAUGGACAUUUUCCAUGGGGGUAAUAUAAGAGCGAUCACCCAAGCAAUUACGAAGCAUGGACAUAUCGAACACCAGGUGCACCGCUCCUAAUUCGGGGGGCAACUCAAACUUGUAGGCUACUUGACCGAUUUUUAGGGUAAUCUGAUAUGGUCCGAUAUACCGAGGACUAAUCAUCCCUCUUUUGCCAAACCUCGUCACGCCUUUCAUAGGCGACACCUUCAGGAAUACCCAGUCUCCCACAUCGAACUCUAAAUCUCGACGCUAGUUGUCCAAGUAGUAUUUUUGCCUGCUUUGAGCGGUCAGUAAUUAACAUUGAAUCAUGUUCACCUUCUCUACAUCUUGUUGCACAAAAUCAGAACCCAAUAACAUUUCCUCGCCAACCUCGAACUAGCCAAUAGGGGAUCUACACUUUCGUCCCUAUAGAGCUUCAUAUGGUGCCAUCCAAAAUCUAGAAUGGUAGCUGUUAUUAUAGGCAAACUCAAUGAGUGGUAGAUGGUCUUCCCAACUUCCUUGGAUCUUAAUACACUGGCUCGUAAUAUGCCCUCGAGCGUCUGAAUGGUGCAUUCAUCCUGACCAUCUAUCUACGGGUGGAAGUUGUGCUAAGAAUGAUCUUUGUACCCAAUCCUCUUUUGAAGGAUCUCAAGAAGCUAGAUGUAAACUUAGAACCUCCAUCUAAUAUAAUAGAAAUCGGAACUCCAUGAAGUCGAACUAUUUCCUUAAUAUAUGACUUAGCAUAAUCCUCAACCGAGAAGGUAGUCUUGACAUGUAGGAAAUGUGUUGACUAGGUGAGUCUAUCCACAAUUUGAUUUAAACCACUAGUAAAUAGACCCAAACCUUUUCAGAUUACUCAUGACCCGCCAUCAUGGCAACACUUCUCUUUUCCAAUACACUAUGGACCUCAAUCAAAAUUCAUCCUAGGUGAUCCCAACAUGAAAUCUCGUCGUCCUAAGACUCAUAAGUCACUUUAUUCUCUCAUGUACACCCAAUAGUACCUCAUAUGGAAAUACCUUCUCUGAAGAGGCCUCCUAUGAAUCUGAACUUAUUUCAUCCAUCUCCCAAACACUGCAUCACAGAAUUGAUAACAAUACAGAAAUUCCCCAAGCCUCUCUCUUAAUCCAACAUCAAUCUCAACUCCUCAGCCACACAACAAAUCUGCAAAUCCUUAGGUACCACAUCUUGAACCCACUAGAACGGGCAUCAAAAGUCACCCACUCUGACUCAGUCCCGAAUACGCAUAUGAUCAUGCUGAAUGACUAGUGCUCUGACAACACAUGAAUACUCCAAAAGAAGAACUGAGUGAAUCCUUUCCCUUUACACCAUAUCUACAAAGGACUAUCCAACCUAAGCCAUUCCACAACCUCCACAUAAACACCAUGUGAAAUAUAACAUGUCUCCCACAAAUUCCUUGCCCAAAUCAAUCUCGAUGUAAUCCUUAUGAGCCAUAACAAAUCUACAAGCGCAUCGAAGUCCGGGACUGCAAUAACACAUGACCAUGUCAUCCAAUCGUUGAUAAUAGGCUCCCCCACUUAGCUUUAAGCCACAAUCACAUAACACAAGAACUCAUGAAGACCGUUCCUCCUUAGUUUUCAUGACCUCACACUAUUACUCCGCUGAAUUUUUCAUAAGCUCAUGUUGCACUAUCCAUAAGACAUCCCAAAUUAUCAUCCCAAAUGCAUACUCAACCUCAUAAGAUAUUGUACAGCCUCUAGCCUUCGCACAGGAGAUAGCCCACCUGUGUAGUCCCAAGCCUUUCUAUGACCUUGCCAUGGGCACCACCACUAUGUAAUAAAUUGAUUCUCCUAGGUCUACACUCGUGCACAUGCCACAAGAAUCUGUUUUAUUUCAUCAAUGAAAAAUCAAAAAGUCCAUCAACACAUCUAAAACUCAAGACCGUAUAGUGCACUAACAUGAUAAUCAAGCAUUCACGUUUCCUUUGUAGCUCAACCAAACCCUUAUUAUAAAAUUCAAACCCUCCAAAAUAUUAGUCAUCAUCACCAAAAUAAAAUGCACAAACUUAGUCAUCUGUUCACAAUGACGAAAAUCGCACCAACCUUCCUUAAAGCCCGUGGCUAUCCUACCACAAAGUACAUAAUGAUACGCUCUCACUUUCGCUCGGUUAUAGCCAUCCUCCGAAGUAAACCUCCUGAUCUCUACUUCUCACACUUGAUCCGCUAAUAAUUUGACCACUGCGAGACAAUUCCAAUAAGGUCCUCUUCCAUCCUCGCCACCCAUAAUGCUUCCUUGAAUCACUAUACAUCUUUGUAUUAUCCAUAUAAACAAAAUACCACAAACUAUGAACCUCUUCAGGGAUCAUCUCCGUCGAACCAUCAAUACUAGAAACACAAAUCCGACCCUGAAGUCGCAACACAUUGACACACCAAGGACUACAUCCUUAGCACCACCAUACUAAGGACAACCAAAUACAGAUCAUCAUACUAAUGAGCUUUGUUGCUCUAAAAUAAAUACAACUGUGAAACCACACAAACAAGAACUCCACUAUGCUCUGAAAUGUCCAAUCUCCAUAAAUCAAGGUCGGAAUAUUCAUAGCCCAAGUGCCUCUCCUGUGUUUGAAUAAAUGCUAAGCUCCAAAUCAUGAGCCAAAUAGUUCUCCUCACAGGGCUUCAACUGCCGUGACAUGUAAGCAAUCGCCAUACCACUCAUCACUAACACAAUACGUGAAGCAUCACAAUAAGUUGUGCAAGGCCCCGAACCUAUGGGCAACAUUAACACUGGGGUGUCUAUAGAUGGAAACCCCUCCACUAAGCGAACAUAGUAGUCAGCCUCCAAAUAGGGGAAUAACAUCCCAGACCACAUGUGAAAUACCACCACAAAUCACUGUAUCUCAACUGAUAUCAAGUUCUCAACAUCACUUACAAACAAGUAGGAGGGAACGGAAGAUAUAGGUUGCAAGUCCAGAUAAAGUCGCACGAUAAGAAAUCAAGAAAGGAAAAUUUUCUAAAAUUAUGUAGAGCCUCUAAGAUAAGUACAAACAUGUUUGUACCGAUUCACAAGACUCUAUUAGACCUGCUCGUGACACGUGAGACUCUUAGAACCUAGUGCUCUGAUACCAACUUUUCACGAUCCAAAAUCCCAUCUCAGGUUGUGAUGGUCCCUAGCCAUACUUGAUAAGCAAGCCAACUCACAAUCAACAAAAUAUAAUCCAGAUUCCUUUAGUUAACAAUCAUAUCAUAAAUAAUGACAGGAAUGAUCUUGAAAUAGUAUAAUAUCUAAUGAAAUCAUAAUAUGGUCUGAACAUGACCAAAAACAUUAUAACAUGAACUAGGUUACACAAGAAACUACUGAAUACAUACAAGUCUAAAUACAUAAACAAAACAAUAUGCGAGAAAGUUAAACUUAGAAAACGUGGCAUACAAUUCCUUCUCCUUCAAUGUCUGGAGCACAAUCCUCAAAUGCCGUUCAUGCUCCUUUCUACUGCAAGAGUAAAUCAAGAUGUCAUCAAUGAAGACAAUCAUAAAAGAGUCCAAAUAAUGCUUGAACACUGUGUUCAUCAAAUCAAUGAAUGUCGUUAGAGCAUUAGUCAAAUAAAAUAACAUCACCAAGAACUCAUAAUGAUCAUAAGGAGUCCUGAAAUUAUCUUAGGGAUAUUUCAAGCCCUAGCCUUCAAGUGAUGAUACCCAAUCUCAAGUCAAUCUUAGAGAACAACUUAGCACCCUGAAGUUGAUCAAGCAAAUCAUCAAUACAAGGCAAUAGAUACUUGCUCUUGAUAGCGACCUUGUUCAACUGCAUGUAAUCAAUGCAUAUCCUCAUAGUACCAUCUUUCUUCUUCACAAACAAUACAGGUGCACCCCAAGGAUAAACACUCGAUAUAAUGAAUCUCUUAUCAAGAAAAUCUUGCGACUGCUCCUUCAAUUCCAUCAACUCUAUUAGAGCCAUGCGAUAUGGUUGAAUAAAUAUAGGUUGUGUGCCCAGAACAAAGUCAAUACCAAACUCAAGCAUACCCAAAAUAUUCAUAGGGUACACCUCAUGAAACUCUCUCAUUACCGGUACCAAAUCCAUGAAAGAAACCUCUAAAAUAGAAUCCCGAACAAAAGCCAAAUAUGUAACACAUCCCUUCUCAAUCAUACACUGAGCCUUCAGGACUGAAAUCGCCUUAUGUGUAGAAUGACCAAGUGACCCUCUCCACUCUAAUAUAGGCUAUCCUGGCAUAGCUGAAGUCACAGUAUUGGCAUGACAAUCAGUGAUAUCAUGAGACGAGGAUAACUAAUUCAUGCCAAGAGUCACCUCGAAAUCGACCAUGUCCAACAAUAAGAGAUCAACCAUAGUAUCAUACCAUCAGUAGUAACCACACACGGCCAAUAUAGACAAUCAACCAUAAUAGAAUCUCUAAAAAGUCUAGACAUAUAAACAAGAAUAUUCAAGGAAUCACGUGGCAUGUCCAAAUAUGAUGCAAAGUAAGAUGACACAUUGUAACGACCCGACCGAUCAUUUUGAGAUUUAGCAUUUUGUUUGGUGGUUUGAUGUCUUGAACAUAUUCAAAUUUUGUAUUAUGACUUGCGUGUAUGAUCGGUUUUAGUCCUCGAGCAAUUCAGCAUUGAUUUGGAAGAAUUAUUCUCACUUUAGAAGCUUAAGUUGAAAGAGUUGACCAAAGUUUGACUUUAGUAUAAACAACUCUGGAAUAGAGUUUUAAUAGUUCCAAUAGCUUUGUAUGGUGAUUUUGGACUUAGGUGUAUGUCCAGAUUUGGAUUUGGGGGUCUGCUGGUUGGUUUAGUGCUUUUAGUAAAACAUGGAAAGUUGAAGGUUUGGAAGGUUGAGAGGUUUGGCUGAUAGUUGACUUUGUUGAUAUCGGGCCCGUGUCAUGGAUUCAAGAGUUGAUAUAGGUUCGUUGUAUUAUUUGGGACUUGCAUGCAAAAUUGGAAGUCAUUUCGAGUUGAUUUGAUAUGGUUUGGUGUGCGUUUUAGAAGUUGAAAGUUCAUUAGUUUAUUAGACUUGAAUUGAGGUGAAAUUCAUGGCUUUGAUGUUGUUUGGUGUGAUUUGAGGCCUCAAGCAGGUACGUUUUAUGUUAUGGGACAGGUUGGUGUGACUGGACAGGAUCCCGGUGGCCUCGGGUGUGUUUCGGAUGAGCUACGGGCCAUUUCCUCUUGUUUUGGAUUGCUGUCAGUUGGGUAUGUUUUCUUCAUUGUGAUCAUGACUAAUUAGUCGCGUUUUCAUAGAGUAAUUUGAUGGUAGGCGACUUUGCGCAUCGCGUUCCUGAAUAUAGGGAGUUGUGGCCUCCACGAUCGCGAGAUAGAUGAUGCGAUCGUGUAGAAGGGAAGCUGCAUGGCAUUAGGUGUUUGUUCUCCGCGUUGGCGGAUGUACUACCGCGAUCGCAUAGUUGCUGGAAAAUUUUUCACCACGUUCACGGGUGGACUAUCGCGAUCGCGUAGGAGGUUUUGGAAGCCGAGCAUUUUGUUCGUCGCGAUCGCGAGGGUAAUUCCGCGAUCACGAUGUGUUUCAUUGGGAAGAUUUAUAUAAAAUACUCUAUUUCGAGGGCUUUUGUUAUUUUAUCACAUAUUGAGCUAGAGAGCUUGGAUUUGGGCAAUUGUGGAAGGGAUAUUCACGAUUAGGAGUGGGGUAAGUAUUCUUGACUCAUAUUUGGUUAUAUUCCAUGAUUCCAUCUUUGUUUUUGGCAUUUAUUUGGUGAAUCUAAGUGGGGAUACUUUGGGAUUUUAUAAAAAACAUCUCCAAAUGAAAAAGGUGAUUUGAGGGUCGAUUUGAGGUCGGAAUUAGAUGAUUUUUGUAUGGUAAGACACGUAUCGGAAUGAGUGUUCAAAAUUUGUGAGUUUUGUGGGAUUCCGAGGUGCAUUCCCUCGGAAUCAUUCCCUACGGCUUUUAUUUGUGAUAUUAAGUUAUUCUUGCUAGAUUCAAGCCAUCCGGAAAUUGUUUCACAUGGGAAGGGCUUCUUAGAGUAUUGAUUUAGUUUCUUUGAGGUAAGUCUAUUGCCUAGCCUUAUGUGAGGGAUUUGGUUUAAUUGUAUUUAUUGAAUUAUGUGAAAGGCGUGUUUAUGAGGUGAUGAGAGUGUACCGGCGCUUAUAUGUGGUAUUUGAUCGGUAUAGACUCUUAUGCCUUUAAUUGAAGUUGUAGUUAUAUGGGACACCAUUCGCUGUUGAUUUAAUUCCCAUUUCAUUUUUUUAUUGUUGAAACUAUUGUAUACUUUGUUGUUGAGACGUGGGCCAUGCUUUAUUGUGAUAUUGGCAUUUUUGUUUUGGCCAUGUUGUGGCAUAUGUGGACAUGUUGUGGGGAUUGCUUGUUGUUGUGCGGAGCAUAAGGGUGACAUUUCACUAUUGUUGAUUUUGUGUAGUGAUACGGGUGGCUAUUGUGUUAUUGUCAGGGCAGAGCGAUGCGAGUGGCUAUUGAUAUAUUGUCUGGGCGGAGCGAUAUGAUUGGCUAGUUAUAUAUUGUAAGGGUGAAGCGAGACGGGUGGCUAAUAAUAUAUUGUUUGGGCGGAGCGAUAAGGGUGGCUAUUAUGAUAUUGUCAAUGCAGUGAGAUAAGGCUGGCUAUGUGGGGAUGAUAUGUGAUGGUCUGAUGGCGUGUUGUUCAUGAAAAGGGGUAUUCUUGCUUGUGAUCAUGAAUUCCUUGUGUGUGUCAUGCAUAUUACAUGAUUUGUUGUGUUGUUCCCAAUGUGCUACUCGAUGUUUCUGAUAUUACUUAAUGAUUUGAGUUGUGCUAGUACACUCGCACAUACAUACAGUGUAACAUGUCAUUUAUACCAGUCAAGGAGGAUGAAACUUGAUGUUCAUCGAUCAUGUACAUAUUUUUUUGUAUAUUUGCUUUCUCUGCGAUGUGGUUUGGACUAGUGGCAUGUGACAACGCCGGGCGGAUUUUGAUAUUGAUCCUGUGACCACGUCAGAAAAAUUGUGAUUAUUGGCACAUAAGUUGUCCAUGCGAUUGUGACUUAGAUUGUGGCACAAGGUCUUAGCCGUGUGACAAUGGUUGAUAACAUGGGCAUGCGGUGCCGUCUAUACAAGAUUUUUGAUUUGUAAUUGUGAGGUCUAGUACCUCGGGGUGUUUCUGGUUAUGACUCUUGAGUCAAACUGUUGAUGAUUAGAAUUGUCAUUGCUUUCCCUUUAUUGCUUUCACUGGUAUUUUACUUACGCUUUGAUUAUUUUGUUGUUCAUUCACACGAUUUCCCUUCAUUCCUAUCUCUAUGUUUUGUUUUCUAAUGUUAGCUUUAAAUUGAUAUUGUUUACAAGUUAUCUGAUUAGUGAGUGUCUUGACUUGAACCUCAUCACUACUCCACCGAGGUUAUCGAUUGUGGUCUAUUCAUGCUACAUUUAUUCACAUUGUUUUGCAGAUCUGACUACUUCAGACUGAACUGGUUAGUAGUGAGGCUUUACAUAUACCAGAGACUUCAAGGUAUCCCUGUAUGAUCCGACCGAGGGCGUCAGAGUCACCCUCUUGUUUCACUUCUGUUGUUUAUGUAUUUCAGACAUUACUUUAUUUUGAUAUUGUUCUCGUGUAUUCAAUUCGAGCUUGUGACUCUGUACCACCUAGCUAUGGGAUAUCAUGUUGAGUAUUUUAUGCUUCGUCCUGUAUUACUCUUAUUUGCGCUUGUAUGUUAAACCUUGUCUCGUUAUUUCAUGCUUUUAUUGUUCUAAAUAAUGUUUAUCAAUUGGGUUACCUAGUUUAGAGACUAGGUGCCAUCACGACUCCUAAGGAAGGAUUUUGGGUCGUGACAAGUUGGUAUCAGAGUUUUAGGUUCAUAGGUUCUAUGAGUCAUAAGCAGGUUUAGUAGAGUCUUGCGGAUCAGUAUGGAGAUAUCUAUAUUUAUCUUCGAGAGGCUAUGUAACUAUUAAUAAAAUUCCACUUCUUUCAUUCCUAUCGUGCAGAUUUAUUGAUUUCGGAGUUUGAGCCUUUGUAUUUUUAUUCUCUUACAAAUGGUGAGAACACGCACUACCGAAUCCACCGAAAAAACACCCGCACCCAUGCUAGAGCCGUGAGAGGCCGAGGUAGAGGCAGAGGAGGGGCACGUGCCACAGCUAGAGCACCUGCUAGAGCAGCAACUGAGGAGCCAACAGUAGCUCCGAUUAGGGGACAGGCACCAGAGGCAUAUGUUGCUACCCCUAGGCUUCAGGAGACUUUAGCGCAGUUCCUGAUCAUGUUUGGUACAUUGGCUCAGGCAGUGUUGAUCCUAGUUUCAUCAGCUACUUCACAGACUGGGGGAGGAGCUCAAACUCCCGCCACCCCUACUCCAAAUAAGUAGGCUUAUGUUGGUUAGGUUUUGGGUGUUAUGCCGGUACAUCCCGUUAUUCCGAUUCAUCCUGAGGUCAGGCCAAUGGAAUCAGAGGAGGAGUAGAAGAGGCUUGAGAGGUUCAAGAAGUGUGAUCCUACUACAUUCAGUGGCACAUCUACCUAGGAUGCGCGUGAUUUUCUAGACAAGUGCCACCGUAUUCUCUGCAUCAUGGGCAUUGUGGAGGUGAGUAAAGUCGCCUUUACUACAUUUCAACUGUCAGGAGCAGCAUAUAGGUGGUGGUAGGCAUAUGAGAAGGGCAGGCCAGAUGAUGCAACGCCACUCACUUGGACUCAGUAUUCGGAUAUGUAUUUGAGAGAGUUCAUUCUAUAGACCCUCGAGGAUGCGUGGCGCACCGAUUUUGAGCAGUUUCAUUAGGGGACUAUGACCAUGUCUGAGUACGCUAGGAAGUUCAGUGAGUUAUCUUGUCAUGCACAUAUUUUAGUUUCUACCGUUAGAGAGAGAGUUCACAGAUUUAUUAAGGGGCUCAGCUAUGGUCUCAAACAUAGGAUGGCACGGGAGUUGGAGAUCGAUACUCCAUUUCAUCAGGUUGUGGAUAUUGUCAGGAGGUUAGAGCGCAUCCAGGGUCUAGACAGGGAGGAUAGGGAGGCCAAGAGGUAUCGAGGUCCUGGAGGAUUUAGUGGAUUCUACUAUUUGGCUCAGACCCAUAACGACGGAGGCUACGUUUAUCAAACAGAUCAGUACGCACUUCAGACUAGUCGUGGUAAUCCAGCCAGUUAGGGACCUCAGGGUACUCAUACGGGGCAGUCAUAUUUUAGUGCACCUCCUGCAUAGGGUUCCUAUAGUGAUUAUUCCAGUUAUCUGGCACAGACUCAGUACUAGCAGCCACGCCCAUAGAGGGGUUGUGUCACUCCCCGACCUUGGGGAGCACGACCGGUGCUCAAUCGAGAUAUCCCAGUCAAGCAAGCAUGCUUGAUGCCUCCUACCCAACCUUACUCAUGAACAACUUAAGAAUCAAUAACAGGAGAUAGACGAGAGAGGAUUAAAAAAAAAA
RNAcentral lists this long non-coding RNA (53014 nucleotides) under Nicotiana tabacum (common tobacco). RNAcentral's name for it is "long non-coding RNA (NTAB_LNC007999)". The record is from RNAcentral. Lineage: Eukaryota; Viridiplantae; Streptophyta; Magnoliopsida; Solanales; Solanaceae.